GCCACCGGACUGUCAGUCUAUUGGCUGCUGAGAGCUCUCUUAUUUUUGCUUUUAGGCUUUGAGAAAUUGUUUUACAUUAUGGAUUUUACUUAUGGUCAUUCCUCUUGCAGGUGAGGACUUUGACUAGAGAGUUACGAGCUACUUCAUUAAAAUAAUUAAGAAAAAACAUGGAAAGGACAUUAGCAAGGAUAACAUGGCUCUUGGGAUGCUUAGGAGGGAAGUUGAGCGUGUCAAGAGAUUUCUUUUUCAUUUUCUCUCCUACUAUAUACUCGUAUUUUUAUAAGCAUUCUAAAAAAAUAUAUAGGGUGUUGCCUGAUACCGUGACGAUACUAAAAAAUUACUCUUUUAAAAGUCUAAUGAUUACGUGAUGAUUAGCUUUAAAAAAGAGUGAUGUCGUCGAUGUGUGAGGCGACACCGAUAUUUACUAUAACAAACGACUCAUUCUUGUAAUUAAAAUUUCUUUAAUAUCAUUUUUAUAAUUAAUUAAUUUUUAUAUUAUUUUUAUUGAAGGGACCUAAAAUUGUGAUUACCAAUCAGAUUGAAUUUAGUGCAACAAAAUCAGCUUAGCACUUGAUUAGCAUAAUCGUGAGUGGCGUUAGUUAAAAAACGGUCCAGUUCCAGCUGUACAGUAAAUGCAUUCACGUUUUCUUAUUGCCACAAAUAAAAUAUUGCAAAAAAAAAACACAAAAUUUUGACCGUUGAUAUGAUUGGAAAUACGCGUCGAUGCGCCGAAUUUUAAGCCGUUUCACUAUAGCCACGUGGCACGCCGGAUUAUGGAAAUACGCUAGGGCCCCACGCGAUUCUCGUAGGAGGCAGCGGCCACCUUUCACGCUUUUGGCUUUCUUUUUCUUUUUUUCGGUUUCCAUAAUUACCCUCCCUUGGUCUUCAGAAUUUGUGAAUACGCCAUUCGAAGGUCCUCGUUUAGGGCAAAUCAGUAUAUACGUAGAGUAUUGAAGGGUAAUUUAGGAAUCACGUGACACGCGGCGCUUCACUGCCGUGGGCUGUGGGCGGUUUCAAAAGCAAAGGAAGGAAGCGUUCCGUGUUGAAAAUCAGUUCCAUUAAUAUUGAUUGAUUUAAUUAAUAAUUGAAAUUAUUCCUUCGUUUCUAAGUAAAAUAAUUUAUUGUUUAGUAUUAUUAGUUAAAAGUCUGAGGGGUUGAGUUCGAGUUUUAUUAUGUAUAAUUAUAUUAUGCGAGUUUUUGAUUUCAUUAUAUACUUAUGUCAUGCGUAGAUUCUUUUUUUUAUAAUAUAUUUUAAAUCGAAUCGAUUAAGUUAUUGAUUCAAUUAAAAUUUUUUAAAAAUAGAUUAAAAAUUUAAUUUAACAAAUGUUUGCUCGAUUCAACUGGUUCGUAUCGAUUCUUGAGUUAAUCAAUUCAAAACCUCUCCUCGACUAGGGGUGUUCAAAUUUCGAUUAAAACUUAAUUAACCAACCAAAUCGAUUUAAUUCGGUUAAUCGAUUUAAUUCAGUUAGAGGUCGGUUAAUGAUUUUUUAGAAGUUUGAUUAUCGGUUAAUUCAAUUCAAAAUUAACCGAACUUAAUAAUUAAUAAUAUAAAUUAUAUGUAGUUUUAAUUCGGUUAAUUCGGUCAAAUGAAAUCAAUUUUUUUUGUAUGUUUUAUACUUGUUUUAACAAAAAAAUAUAAAUUUUAGUUAAUUCAGUAAUAUUUCGGUCCGGUUACUUUUUUUUAAAUUACGGUUCGAUUAACAAUUAAAUAAUUAAAAUUUUUGAUUAAUUCACUUUGAUUAACCGUUCCGGUUAACCAUUUGAACACCCCUACCCUAAACCGGUAUCUCAACCGAUUUUUAAUCCAACCUUUUUUUUAUUCAAUUGGUAAAAAUAGAUGAAUUCUGAAAAAAAAAUAAGUUUUUAUGGUUUACUUUUAGUUUAAUAUUAAACCCAAAUUUGGUUCAUUUUAUCUCGAUAAUAUUUAAAUAUUAAAAGGAAAAAUCUGUUUUAGGCCCCCCAAAAGUCAUUGCAAUCAUUAUUUUUACCCCUAAUGAUUUACAUUUUAUCACACUUUCUUUGACAUUGCUCACUCUUGUCUUUGUCCAGUUGAUUAAUUUUAUUCUUUACUUAUUAUUAUAGCAAAGCUUUUGACACUUUAUCCCUCUUUCAAAACUUCAAACUUUUUCAUAAAGAAAAAAAAUUCAAAGUUCAAUUUUCAAGCUUUGGGAGCCUUGAAUGAGGGAUAAAGUGACCAAGUAAAUUUAUACACGUAGAUGAAAAAAAUAUGUAAAAAGUUUAUAUAAUUUAAAUUAAUAUUUUUUUAAAAAAUGAUAAUACUUAACCACGGGUUAGGUGAAAUGUUAAGGGUUUCUCCUACUUUAAUCAAUGGUUAAGAGUUUGAUCUUCGUUUUGAGUAUGGAGAACAACUUUAAAAUUCAUAGUCAGCGUCAUUAAACUCACUUCGAUGAGUACCUUAAAAUGAAAUAAUAAUAAUACAUAUAAGGGAAACAAAGUAGUUUAUUUUAAUAGUUUUUAAGAGGUGGGGUUAUCUUUUUCAAAGUAAUUAAGGUUUGUUUUAAAGACAUAAAUCUCGGGUAUUAACUCAUAAUUUAUAGAAAAAGUGGUUUUUAAGUCAAUUCCUUAAGUAAGUAUCAAGAUUUUUUAGUAAGGAUAAAAUUAGGAAUAUGAAAAUAAAUAUAAAAAGUAUCUUAGAAAUACUAUGUAAACAUUCAAAUGGUAUGGGCAGGGGCGAAACCAGGGGCUAGCAGGGACCCAGCCCCUAUAAAAUGAAAAAUUUUCGAGUAUUUGGAUUAAAUUUAAAUUUUAGAGUUGAUAAUAUUAGGAAAGUUUUAUCUGAAUAUCACUUUUAAUCGAAUAGAAUUGUGUUUGAAUAAUAAUAAUACAAUUACAAUUACAUGACACAAUAAUAUCUUAUAAUAUCUUAUAAUAUAAUAAUAUAAUGGUGAAAUUUCAAUUCUAAUCUUUCUAUUUUUGAGAUUAUGUAAGAACGGUUAAAUUUUAGUUUCGAUCUCUUUACUUCAUUCAAAUUUGAGAUUUAAUCUUUAUACUUUAAUUUCGACAUAAUUUGGUACCUCAACUUUUAUAAUAUCAUUAGUUCAAUUAAAUGCUUAUCUCAAAAUUAAAAUGUUUAUGCGAACUUUUAAGAAUCGUUAACAUUGUUAAAACUCUCUAUUAAAUUCAUGUCCAUUACAGGAAUACCAAGUGAGUAUUUUUUUUUUAAAAUUUCAAAAUAUCAUACCAAUAAAUUCGACUGAAGCAUUUUAACGAUAUUAACAAAUAGACCUAAAAUUUCAAAAUUCGAAAAAUAAAGAGAUUAAAUUCCUAAAACUAAAAGUAUAAAAAUUAAAUUCCAAUAUAUGAUUAGUGUUGGAGUUUGUGUAACCCGAAUCUCAUCACUUGUUGAAGAAAUAAAUCCAGUGGUAAAAUAAGGAGAUCUAUAGGGGCGAAUUAAGCUCAAAACUGGGCUGGGGUUGCGACGUUCGCCCCCGUAGUACGGGCCAUACCGCACAAGUAGAGUCCAUAAAGAACUACAUUCUACUAUUUGACUUUGAUUAAAACAAGAUUUUUAAAUUCUUAAAUAGAUAUAAUCGAAACUCCGGAUUGUGAUUAUAUUUUUAAAGAUUUGUAUGUAAGUAUUGAAAAUCCAAACCCUAUAACUAAAGUCCUCUUUGGAUACGCAAUAUAUAUAUGUAUGAAUUCAAUGUAUUGUGAUAUUUAAGAUAGUAAUUUUAAAGAUAAAGUUGAGCCAAUCUCCUUGGCAAUAUGUGGGUGGGAUAAAGAUGAACACCCAUUUGAAUAUUACAUGAAAAUAUUUUCAUGAAUUUGAAAUUCCGAAUAUCGUAUUUGCAUAUUUGUGAAUUUAAAUGCUUCACAAGAACCUUGUAUUUCUUUAAGCUCUUCGUUUUCAACUAUUCAAGUUUCAAAAAUUCAACCAUGUGAGACAUUAAAUUAAAGAAUCAGUGUUUUUUUUUGAACAAUCUUAUUAUAGGUUGUGGUUGUAUCUGUUCUUUUUGACACAAUGUUAGAAUUAUUUAUAGUCUUUUUCUAAACCAUAAAUAGAAGUAUAAUACAUUUUAGCACACUCGAACACAUGUUCUCUUGUAUUAUCAAUAACGCCCAUCUCAACCGAGUUAAGGUUCAGUCAGUUAAAUUGAUUUUUUUAAAUGUAAAUAGUAACUGAAUAAAAAAAAUAUGAAAAUAAUAAAAAUUACUUUAGGGGUUAAAAAUGAAUAAUGAUUUGGAAGCAUGGUAUAAUAUUAUCAUUACAUUAACUUAUGAUUUUAUAAAAUUUGAAGGGCUUUUAUAUCAAAUUUAUUAGUUUUUGGUCUUGCCUUCGCCUCUAGCAAUUUGAGAUAUUGAGACGAUAAAUCAAACAUCCGUCUCACAAAAUAAAAAAUCUUUGUUACUUCGAUUUGAGAUCAAAAAUCAUGUUGAGAAAACUCAAAUCGUCAAAUCGUCAAAAAAGUUCACCAUUAAAAUGCUAGGGAGAACAAGUCUUUAGGUUUAGGACAUGGACAUGCUAGUAAAAAGAGUUCAUGCCUACUGACUCUGUUCUGAAUUCUCAGUUCUGACUCUUGACUGAUUUCUCAAACCUCCUUUCACUAAAAAUUAUUAGGAAAAAAACCCCAUGAAGCAUUAAUAUGAUUUUUAAAAUAAAAAAUAAAAUUUCUAAAAUAUGAUGGAAAAUGAUGUUGAAAAUGAAAAAGUAAGAAAAAGAAAAUGGGAGAAUAAUUUGAAAAAAAAAAAAACCUGUCUACAUAUGAACAGCUAACACCUGCUCAGUCUCCCAAUAAAAUGACCUGCUAUAUUGUCUUUCUUUUCAAUUUUUAUUGACCUUUUUUGGUUCUCAUAGCUGUAGAGAGAUUAGUCAUAUUAUUAUUCCUUUCUUCUUCUUUCAUUCUCAACAAUCUCUUCCCCCUCUUCUUCCAUAAUACUCUUUCUCUUCAUAUAUAAUCUUUAUUUUCAAACACCCUAAAUUUACAACCACAUAUUCCAGAGAGGAUUUUUUUAAAAAAAAUGGUGAUGAAGUUACCUUAUCUGGGUUCUUGUUUGUUUUUGGUUUUUUUUAGUUUGGUUUCUAUUGUUGCUUCUGGGUCUGGAAAAGGGCUCCCAAUUCUUUCAUUCGAUGAAGGAUAUAAUCAGUUGUUUGGGGAUGAUAAUCUAGUUAUCCAUAGAGAUGGUAAAGCUGUUCACUUGUCUUUGAACGAAAGAACAGGUAUGUUUCUUUUUUGCUGAUUUGGGUUCUUCUUUUUUUCUUUGUUGUUUCAUUAAAAAGGAAACAUUUUUUUGCUUUUGAUGAUGGUGCAAAACAGGGUCGGGGUUUGUGUCACAAGACCUUUACUUGCAUGGUUACUUCAGUGCUUCAAUAAAGUUACCUGCUGAUUACACUGCUGGAGUUGUGGUUGCUUUCUAUGUGAGUUUAUCUAUGUUCUGCAUUAAUCUCUUUCCUUUUUUUUAUAUUAAAAUCUAUUUAUCUAACAGUUAAUUAUUUUAGAAGCUCUCUCAACAGUCCUUUUAAGCUCAUGGUUGCUGUUUAGUGUCAAUUAAUCUGUUUUUUUUUUUAAUUCUGAUACUAAUAAGACUCAGAUGAGUUUGUCACUGUUUUUUUCACUUUCCUCUCAUGGUUCAACUUGGAGUUUGAAUAGGGUCUUGAAUAAAGACUUUGGUUUUUCUUUUCAAGUCACAAAAAAUUCAAAUUUUUAUUCAAGAAUCUGAUCAAAAUACACAUGGAUAUGACUAUGAACAUGUUCAACUUAUCUCAGGUUAAUUAGAAUUUCCAGAUGGUUUUUUCAUGUUGAAGGAGAUGGCUUCUUUCAUAAAUGAAAUUCAUUUUCCUGAAUAUGGAUUUUAAUUUAUGUGAUAAACAGAUGUCAAAUGGUGAUAUGUUCGAGAAGAACCAUGAUGAAAUAGAUUUUGAGUUCUUGGGUAACAUUAGAGGAAAAAAUUGGAGGAUUCAGACCAAUAUUUAUGGCAAUGGAAGCACCAGUGCUGGCAGAGAAGAGAGAUACAAUCUCUGGUUUGAUCCUGCUGAUGAUUUCCAUCACUACACUAUUCUCUGGACUGCUUCUCACAUCAUGUAAGCAUUCACAAUCUAUAUCCCCAAAUACUCGUGUUGGACAUCCGACCCAAUCACAAACAUGGAUAUGGGAAUAUUACCCUUUAAGCAUUGCCCCCACCAUCUCUCCUAUAAUUUUUUGUUGUGUUGCUUUCCUUUUUCCUCAAAUGGUUAAAUCCUUUAGUUAUGCUGCUCUGCUCCAACCACAACUUUUUUAACCUAUGAACAUUGUAUGAGUAAGUGCUGAACAUGCUGUUUUGAAGAGUUGUGGUUUUGAUGUGAUGGUUGUAUUGUGAUGUAGGGUAAGUUUCUUAUUUUGGGAUGUUUAUAUAUUACACGAUAUGAAGUCUGGUUUUGCUUGUAAUGGCAUCCCUUUUACAUCCAUCCAGUUUUUCUUCUAAUACCACCAUAACUAAAUUGUUGGUUUUGUUUUUGAUGGUAAUUAUUUUUGCUUGCAGAUUUUAUGUAGACAAUAUCCCCAUUAGAGAGUUCAAAAGAACAGCUGAAAUGGGUGGAGAUUUCCCCUCUAAGCCAAUGUCAUUGUAUGCUACAAUAUGGGAUGGAUCUGAUUGGGCUACUAAUGGUGGCAAAUAUAGAGUCAAUUACAAAUAUGCUCCUUAUGUAGCGGAAUUCUCCGAUUUAGUCUUGCACGGCUGCGCAGUUGAUCCAAUCGAGUUUUCGUCCAAGAGGUGUGACGGCACGCAAAGUUGGGAACAACUUACAACCAGUAUCACCCCAUCACAAAGAAGCAAGAUGGAUAGCUUUAGGAGGAAGCACAUGACAUACUCUUACUGCUAUGACCAAACCAGAUACAAGGUUGCUCCUCCGGAGUGUGUGAUCAAUCCCCGAGAAGCUGAAAGACUGAAGAAGUUUGACCCUGUCAUGUUUGGAGGAGGCAGGCGCCACCAUGGGAAACGACACCACCAUAUGCGAGCAAGCCGGUCUGAGGCUGAUUCCAUCUGAUGAAAGACCUUUGACCAUUGUUUUCCUCUCCUUUUCAUUCAGCUUGGGGAUCAGUUUUGUGUAUAGAGAGAGGGGGAAGACUGCAGAGCACAGCACAUAUACAUAUAUAUAUUGAGGGUGAUAUGAGUCAUUAUAUAUGUUCAAUGAUGUGGGGGGUAUGUGUAUAGUUCCAUACCGUUUUAGGUUUCGCUGUCCAUUUUUGUUAUUGAUGCAAUAAAAUACUUUAGCAGAUUUAAAACAUCUUUAUUUUUUAAAAAGUUAAUUUAAGUAUCAUUUUCUGCUUUCCCUCUUGGUGGUUCAAAGAGACAUCUGCAGCACCCAAAAUUGUUGCAUUUAAUGUCCAAAGUUUGGGGUUAUCUCUAUGUCUGUUAGCAUGUUGCUGAUCAAUAUGUAUAUGCCAUUGGGUAGUUGGAAUCUAAGGAGGGUUAGAUGUGACAAGUUGGGGAGAUAUACUUUUAAAAAAUAUUACUAAAUUUUAUUUUUGAGCCCUCCAAAAACUAAUAAUUUAAUUUAAACCCUUUAACAAAAAAAAAUAACUUUGACAUCUAAAAUUUUAUAAUUAAAAAAAAUGUUGAUUUCGCCCACUACAGAACAUAAAUUCAUCCAUUCCAAGGGGCAUUAAAUAUAAAGCAUUUGCACAAAAUCAUAAGGUGAAGAAUAGAGGUCACAAAUUUUUGGAACAACUUGUGCUUAGAUUCCAAUAUCAUUUGACAGCCAAUUCUGAACUGGAAUUGCAACCUCAUUGAGUAAAAUUGAAAUGAAAAAAAAUGAAGAAAUCCCAGUAUUUUAGACCACAUAAUAAUAAUUCAUAGUUAUCCAUAUGCACUGACAUAAAUCAUGUGCAAAGCUCAAAAAGAAAAGGCUACAUCUCACUAUCUUUUAAAGCAGAUAUCUUUGAUUGCUAAGAUUGUAACCUGCAUUUCCCUAACAGUGAAAGAAAUCAAAGAAAAUGGAUUUGAUUAACACAAGCUAACAAGUGCAAUAUCAAUAUACAUACCCGCUAUAAACCCUAAAAUUUGACUUUGUCCAAUAGUAUCACAUGUAUGUAUAACCCUUCCUCUUACUAAUCCAUGUAAAGUAGAUGAAUGUAAGAAAUAUCAUGUAAAUCAUUUACACGAUGCCAUGGUGUGUUAUGUCCAAGAUUUUUCUUUUCUUCUAUAAGAAACAGCUGUUAAGAAAUAUAAAUGAUAGUCCAAAAGCAAAAUGUCCAGAAGAUGCUUUCCAGCAACAAGAGGAGAUGCAUUCAGAAAAGUUCUCAACACAAAUACGACUCCAACUAAUUUCGAAUUCUACUACCAAACUUACAUUUACCACCAAAGUAUAUCAGUAAAGAACAAGAUCUCUAGUUCUGGGAUUCAGCUGCCUCCUUUCUCUCUAUCAGUUUGAUGAAAUUCUGAACAAUUAUUUUGCCUUCAGAGGUUAUGAUGCUCUCCUGACUGAAAUGAACACCCUACGGUUUUCAAUCAACUUAAUGAGCGUAAAGAGAAGUAAAUGGAAAAGAUUGAUAUAGUAAUACUUCAGUAAGUGGAAAAUAAGCAUAACAAUGAGGGACAGCCUCUGCAUAAGGCUUUUUUUGGGACCCUUCUUUUCCUCGACUCUUGGUUUGUGAUAAAAGGAGGAAAAAGAUGACAUAAAGAACUUGUUAAAAGUGCUUGUUUUAUGAUGGUAGCUUUAGUUUCUUUUAUCUAUAACCAGACUAUGGAAUCAAAUCAUAUAGAGGUAUACACAAAUUGCUAAAACUGAAUGAAGGAAUGUAUGUGGAAGAUGUGGAGAUCAUAGUGUGAACAACAUCAUCGACCGUCUCAUAACGACGAUGUUAGAAUUGAAGAAAUGUUCUUAGCAGUGAUGGGGGUUAAUAUAGGGGUAUAAUUAAGAUGAAAAAAUAGCUAUUUUAAUUCCUAAAAUGCUGCAAAAACCCAAGGGUGUCAUGUCUAAGGCACUGAAGUCAAGAAAGGGUACUCCUAUGAAUCUAUGAUGCCAUUAGAGAUGCUAUUACAUUGAUAUCUCUAGGCAGUAAUGUCAGAACAGAACAGAGGUAACUAAGAGACGAGAGACUUUUUGAUAAAUAUGAAAACAAGUGACAUUUUGGUUUUCAACAUAAAAUAGGUUGUUAGUUAACAUUUUCAUACUGAAAUUUAAAAGGUAUCGAUGUCUGCAAGUGCAUGUAUACAAGAAGACACCAUUUUGGCCAAAAAAAGAAGACACCACUAGAAAAAUCAAUAUAAACUUAAUAAAAUUAGGAGAAUAAAGCACAUUGCAGAAAGAACCUUAUUAGAUGAUUCUUAAAACAAGCAAUUGGUCAAACAUAUAUCAUGGUUGAGCUAUGAUUCUCCAGAGAUUAAAAAAUUAUGGUGCCAGGGAAUUUAACCUUAUAUUGAUACUCCAAUUAUUCCAGAUAUAAUUAUAGUGAUUCUAUCAAUUAGGAGUGCAUCUAAUUUAUGUAAAGAAAUCAGUUACAUCACAGCAAAUACAAUCUUACCAGCCAAUCAGUUAGUUUUCAAUUUGACUGUAGGUGUUUGUUCUCAUUCUGAAAAUCAUUGUGCUAAUACGUUAUAAGUAAAAUAGACAGCGGUCUUACAUGUAGAUACUUGUAUAUCUUGUGCCGAGCAGCCAUUAUCAGUGCAUCUUCUGUAAAAGCAGUAACCUUGAGUGCUUCCAAAGGAAAACUAUCCAUAUCAAGAAAGGCAUCGGGACCUCUGCCAGCUUGGAAUGGGCUGGAAAAGGCACAAACUUAGUAAGAAUUGCUGAUAAUCUGAGGUGUAAUUAAUGAAAUAAAUUGGAAACUGUUUUUAAGAGUAAUUUAAUAGAGCUUCCAAAUGUCUAGUAAAAAUAAAGAAGGAUAGUAGCAGAAAAGGGAGGUUUUGACCAAGUAUGCCACACAGUAAUAGUAUAUUACAUUCUCACAUGGGGGCUAGGGGUGGUUGUGAGGGAAGCAAGGUGCAGUUUUCUGAGAGAGAUUGGUUUUAGUUUCCCAAGUAAGCAUUGCAACAUGCUCAACAGUGACUAUAUACCCUUAGACACUAUAUGAACUUCAUAUGACUGGGCUUCUUUUUCGGUAUAUUUAUAGACUCCUCACUCUCAACACCCUUUCAUUGCCAAUCUCAUAGCUAAACCUAGGUCUGAAAGCGGCAGGGUGAUUUGCAAAUCUGAAACAUAGACUUCACUAAUUAAAAUGGCUCUUCUUCUGUACCUUUCUCAAAUUCAGUUUGCUAAUGUGAGAUUUUAACGAAGAUAAGAUUUUUUUCAUACCACUAGUUUUUCAAUGGCCAACAAAUUUAGGACAUGAUUAGCUACAUAAGUAGUCAACCAUGCACAUUAUGUGUAACAUGCUGUAUAGAGCUCUACUGAUUUUCUGACCUAUUGGAACCAUCUAGCAUUGGUAAACAAAAGCUGACAGGGUGUAGAAUCCCUCUCAAGGGGCAUUGGAAAAAAAAAAGUGGAAAUUGAAACAUGUUUUACAGCUCCUUAUCCACUAUUUUGCCUAUAAAAGUAAACAAAAUUUCCUAACAGUUGAAACUUGUUAGGGGAAAAGUGCUAUUAAGGAGUCCCUAUACUUGAAAGGUAAAAGAGAGCUCAAGAAACAAAUUUGACUGUAUUGAUAGUUUGAGCACAUAAUUUAAGCACACUUUAAGAAUUUAAAAAGGAAAAAUUGUGGGCCAAGAAGUAUAUACUUUGGCAAUCCUGUAAACAACCCAGCUUCCUUCUCAUCAUAAUAAUAUACACAACAACUGUCGCCCAGUUUAAGACCAUAUGGAGAACGUACUGUCUUUCCUGCAUUUUACAAUGAAGUCAAACAAAUAAUGUUAAGAUCCCACCAGCAAGCAGCCCAGCUUCAUGAUAGACAUACACGACUAUGGAAUAAAUAUUGAGAUAAUGUAGAAAGAUCCUGAAUUAAAAUGAAUAACAGUUACAUAAGCUAUCCUUGAACACUCACCUCUGAAAGCCUCACAAAUGCACCACAUUCCCGUAGAAACACCUAACAAUGGUACAAUCGUCCAAGCUCCAAAACUGUUUGCAAUAAUGUUCUGGAGUUUUUGAGCGUGCCUGUUCAAUGGAUACAAAGUGUAUAAAAUGCUGAAAUACGACAGGUUCUUAUGCUUUGGUUAAUACGGCAAACUAGUACCUGGACCAGGGGAGAUGAGCACUCCCCUAGGGUUUUUCCUACAAUAUAACAGGAGAACUAGUCAUUAUGUGAAUAAAAUCUCUAGAUAUAAGAUAAUUAAUAACCAUCCACCACCCGAGUGACCAUCAUGUUAUACAUAGUAUUGUACUAGUCAAAAGGCUAAAAUUCUUAACUUUUCAACUCUUCCACGGUUAACUCAUCAUUCCGACAAACCUUGAGACUACAUCCAAGCUCUCCUAAAUCCUGCAAAGUAACAUGUAAAUUCUGAGGGUUUUCUGUAAUUAGUCAAUAGCACAACUCAGAAAAGACUAAAAGCAAUCAAACAAAAAAAUUCGUAAGGCAACAUUUCUAGAUCAGAAAAUUAUUAUCAACUCCUUUUACCCCUUUCAUAAGGCGGCAAUCAAAUGAGCCAUGUCUACUGCUUAAAAGGACAAAGACAAGAUUGAAGUAAGGAUGAUUCCCAACAUUGGAAGCAAGAUUUCACUCUAUUCCCUAAUAGUUGGUUUCUCAGUGCUUGUGCUUGUGCUUGUCCUUGUCGGGGGGAAAUCUUUGACCAAUUUCUAGCACCAUAAACAUAAAAAACUGUCUCAUGCUAUUGAUAUUCAUUGGUCAAAGACCAUUAAACCAAGUGACCAACAGUAUCGAAGAUGCUGAAUUGAGUUCACUACACCAUAUGAAUAUUCAUUCAGCAGGAAUCACUUUUGACAUAUCAUGUUUCUUACUGAUAAUAAAGUUGCAACAAUUUCGUUGAGGUAAAUAGUUUUGAAAAAUAAUCCUUUACUUUCAAAGAAAGAACUAAAAUUAGACCAAAAAAGAAAAUUUCAACAGUUCAGGAUUUUCUUUCUAGAUCAUUUACAAGCAUGAAUAUAUUCUUUCACACACAAGUACAAUAAAUUUACUAUAAACCUGCUAAUCAAUAAUUCUGUUACCUGUCGUUUUCCUCACGAUUUGUAAGCAAUCAAACAGCAUAUCUAGAAUCAAGUCUUAAAGCAGGGCAAUUAAGAAAGGCAAACGAUUAGCUAUGAAAAUGAGAUUGGGAGUGAAAAAACUAUCAUAGUUGUCAAUGAGUAUAAUGGGAUUCUGGCUGUCUUGCUUAGUCUCUGUUAGAUACUAUGCAAAAUAUGUAUGAACAGAAAGAUAAACUAUAGUGUAAUUCUUUAAUCAAUAUUCCCUCUCUUGAAUGAACAUAUUGAUGAAGUUUAUAUAACUGCUCCUAACCAACUACUUAACAGAUUUGAUAACAGACUAACAAUCUUUAUACUAUUGUUUAACAGUCUCCAACACUGAAAAGGCUGAAUACGGUACAGCUGACGGCGUUGAUAAUUUUCCAACAACCCCACUUCUCUUUGUUAGCAAGAAACCAACUCCUGCAAAACACAACAAAGAAAAAAACAGAAAAGAACCUUUCUUUGAUUACACAGUACACCCAAAAAAAUUCGAUAGAAAAGAAGAUAGAGGAAGAGAGAGACUUGAUGGAGGAGAGAGCCUGGAUAGUUGAGGCAGAGAUGGAUUUUGAAGGGUUUUAAGAGAAAGUGAAGGUUUUGGUUGAACCAGAGAUGAUUGCAUAACAAAAUUAACAGCCAUUUUUCUUCUAAACAAAGAAACAAAGCAAAGUAGUUUUUUUUUUCAAGGCGCUAGGACUCUGAGAGGAAGGUUUAUCAGUUUCAGUCUUAUGUCUUGCAGGGAUUCUGCUUUAUAGAAAAAUAAGUUGCACAAUGUUCUCCACAUGGCCGUCAGUUAUCUAGAAAAGCAAUGUAAUUGGACAAGUUUUUGUUCUCUUUUAGGUGAAUUGCCAAAUCCUCCUUAGAUGCUUUCCAUGCCUCAAAUCUGAAUGGGAUUCAAUUAAAAAUAUAUACACUCUUGACUCAAUGAAAAUUUAACAAGGACCUAUUUCUUCUGAGUACAUAAAUUAAUGGGUUUUCUUUUGACAGGUGAGAUAGAGAUGAGUUUUGAAGGGAUUUAACAAAAAGGGAAGGUUUUGGUUGAACCAGAGAUGAGUUGGUAGUACAAUAUAACUGACUUGGAGUCUCAUUGAAAAGAGAAUAAAAUGGCAAUGUAUGUUCAGUUUCGAUCAUCUGGGGACAUAAUUAUCAUUUCUAUCUUCAUAAACAAAAAGAAAAAUGGAAAUAGAAAUAUAGGCAAAAGAUUAUCCAAUGAAAAAGACUGUUAUGGAAUGCAAUUGUAACUGUCAUUUCAUAUUUCUGUUAAUUACUCUUAAUUACUUUUUAUUGUAAUGUUUUGGUAUUCUUUUAGUAGUACGGUGCGUUUUGUAUUUGAGGGGGGUGGGGGGGUUGGGAAAAACACCGUUUAAGGAAACGGUGUAAUUUUGGCAAUGAUUAUUCUGCCAACUGUUACCAUCCGUUAUUCUGCUUUUCUUAAUAGCCAAUUAGAGAGAGCAGAGGUAGUUAUGAAAUUUGAAAACCAUAUUCAAUUUUCUUCUCUCUCGUUUCUCUCUUUCUCACCUUCUAUUUUCUUAAAUUUCUUCUUUCAAAAUCACCUCGCCACAAAUGUAUCAGAGCCUCGUCGAUUCUCAUGGCUACUGAGGGCAUUACAACCAGGCUUCAGAAAGAUAUGACACUGAUUCAGAAUGAGCUUACAUAGUUGCAAGCAAAGUUCAAUCAACUGAGCAUAAGGAUUGAUGCACCUCUUAAGGACUUCCAGGAAAGAAUUAAUAAUGAGGUUCGUUCUGAGGUAAGAUCCGAGCUUCGUUCAAAGCUCCACUCUCUGUUUGAGCAGUACUUUAGCCAAACUCCUCUUAUUGUGGUUACUGGUUUGGUUUCAAACAAAGGAAAGGGAAUUCUAGGCGAGAGUCCUCCAGGAUUUCCAUCAAGAGAACAAUUUGUUGUGUCUCCCAUACUAGAUCUGAGACAUACUGGUGCGUCUUCUCGUGUGAGCAGCUUGGAUGUUGGGAGUACUCUUUUCAGAGUAGAUUGUCCUCAUUUUUAUGGGAGUAAUUUUCGAAGGUGGUGGUCUAAGUUUGAAAAGUACUUCGAAUAUGAGGGGGUAGGAGACCAUGCUAGAGUUCCGAGUGGUGAUGUUGCAUUUGGAAGGGAAGGCAUUGGAUUGGCAUCACUUCUUUGUCCAGACGCAGGGAGAGUUACAUCAAGUAACCUGGGAUCUAUAUGCCAAUGGCCUGAAUGAGCGCUUUGGAUCUGACUCAUUCCUUGAUCAUAUGGCUAAACUUGUCUCACUCAGGCAACAAGGAUCUGCCGAUCAGUUUCAUGAUGGAUUUGUAAGUUUCCUGAAUCUAGUCCACUUGCCUGAAGCAUAUGCACUAAGCAUUUUCACAAGUAAUUUAAAACCUGAGACAAUACCUUAAGUUGUUCAAGCCACAAACCUUGGUUGAAGGGGUACAUUUUAGCUAGACAGGUGGAAAAUAUUGUCUUAAGACCUUCUAGGAAGUGAUUACUUGUGAAUAAUGCAGUAGGCCCUUGUAAACCUUUAUUGCUUGUUUCCAGAAUGCAUCAUGGUAAUGGGGGCCUUUCACCAGUAGGUGGUUCUGGUGGUGUGGUCAAUACUGGUCAACGAGUCCCCACUAAAUCUCUUUCUCAAGCCGAGAUGGAUGAUAGAAGGAAGAAAGGGCUUUGUUUUUUGUAUGGCUCCAAAUAUACACUAAGACACAAAUGCUCCAAAUCCUAAUUAUAUCAGCUUAUCAUUGAACCAUAAGUUGAUCAUGAUACUGAUGCCAAAAGUCCUACUUCAGAGGAGUUCCAAGACUGUCCUGACCAAUUAGAGGUAGCAGAUCAAAUGGUUGAGAUUCCUACUCUAGUGUUGUCUUUACAUGCUCUUCAAGGGUCACAAGGGCAGAAUACUAUGACAUUUUGUAUUUGAGGGGGGGAAUCAACGAUUGCUUAAACGUCUCGUUUUGGGAAAAACACCGUUUAACGAAACAUUGUAGUUUUGGCAAUGGUUAUUUUGCCAACUGCUACAAUUCGUUAUUCUGCUUUUCUUAAUAGCCAGUUAGAGAGAGCAGAGAUAGUUAUGAAAUUUGAAAACCAAAUUCAAACCUUCUAUUUUCUUAAAUUUCUUCUUUCAAAAUCACCUCGCAACAAAGACACGUAGUUUUGAAGAUGCAAUCAAACCUGGCAAAGAUAAUCAGCGAAACUAUAAUAGUUAUGAAUGAGGAUAAUGGGAUUCUUAGUGUUUUACUUACUCUCCAAACACUGAAGAGGUUGAAUCCGAUGCCAAUGAUGUUUUCUCAACAGUCCCACUUCUCUUUCUUACCAAAAAACCAACUCCUGCAAAACAACACAAAAAGAACCUUUCUUUAAUUACACUGUACAUAAAACCAAAAAAAAAAAAAAGAAUAGGGAGAGAGAGAGCGUGGAUAGGUGACAUAGUCACAUAGAUGGGUUUUGAAGGGUUUUACUAGAGAAUUGAAACAAUUUGGAUCAAGGCCCGAGGAAUGAAUUAGAACAAGCUAAGGACAAAUUUAUAAGAAGCUCAAACUAAGAAGGAAUUAUAUUGGAAAUAUCCCGAAACAGAAAAGAAAAUUUCUUACCCCCAGCAAGCCUACGCUUUUACAGAGAAAUCCCUAAGAAAUUAUUUUCAUCUUGCACGGAAAAAAAAUCUCCAUCUUCUUCCAUCUCACACCGCAAGCCUACCCUUUACGCCCUCUUCUUCUCUUAAAACUCUAUAACCAUGGAUUCUAUAUCCUUUUAAAAUAUAAAAAUCAAAAUACUCCCAUAAAUAUUCUACCCUAUAAAAGCCCCAACACAAAGUUUUCCAUCCCUUUGCUGUCACUGAAAACAACCGAAACCUUUCCCCUUUUACUCUGAUUUGGCUUCCAGUUAUCGACUAGUAUUAGUAAUAGAACAAGUAUCAGAGAGAGAGAGAGAGAGAGAGGAAUGCCGCUAGGGAAGUAUUACUGCGACUAUUGCGAUAAGCAAUUUCCAGACACUCCUGCUGCUCGAAAACGCCACUUGCAGGGCCUCCAGCACCUCCGUGCCAAAGCUCAAUGGUUCCACUCCCAAAACGCCCAAGGUACUCUCUCACUCACUGCUUUUCUCCCAACUCCCCUACUUCCUGCUUUUUUAUUCACAUGCUUGUGAUUGCAGAUCUUUAUCAAACUUCGGUACCACCCUUUUCGAAAGGCGUCUGCAAUCGCUUCCUUAAUACAGUAAAUAUCCCUCUCUUCUCCUCUUGGAAUGCCAUUUUUGUUUCUUUUUUACUUCAAUCAUAUAAUAUUCAAGUGCACUUGGUUUUCCUGUUUUAGGGAUUUUGCCAGUACGGAGAUAACUGUAAAUACUUCCAUCCCAACAAUGAUUCUCGGACCCCAAAUCCUCCACUUUCAACUGCACCACCAGGUUUUUUUUUCUCCCUCUGUUUUAUUAAUUCAUAUUUGGUUAUGCAGUGCAAUGCAAGUAAGGAUGGGUUUUGUUUAUAUUGUUAUAGGUGGUGUAGAGGGAAAUGGAAAUGGUAUGACAAUAUCGUGGGGUAAUCUGCCUCCAUCCUUAAAGCCCCCACCUGAGGCUGGAUAUCCACCUCUUCCUUUUGUGGAUUGGGGAUAAACUCUCUCUCUCUCUCUCCCUUGCUCUGUUUCUAGACACCAAUUUCCUCAUUUAGUUUCUUCAUUUGUUAAAGCUGUAUCUUCUUGUUUAUAUUAUUAUUACAUAUUAGAUCACCCACUUUCAUUUCCCUGUUCUUCCUCCUUUUACAUUUCUUGUCAUCAUGAGUAUGUCAAUACCUUGAUAAUGGGAAUUCAUUAUAUUACACAACACAAUUGUCUAACAAAUCUAAAAGGUGAAGUGUUAUGGUUCAAUUGAUCCUUGGUUCAGUUUAGUUUGUGCAUUAUAGGAACAAAUGGUAAGAAUGCAAGUGAGAGUAUGAAUGUUGUAUGAUUAGGUGGCGGAAUUUUAGUAGACUUCCAAAGUCUAUCCAUAAGCUUCAGAGCUUACUGACAUUUAGAGAUUAUUUGAUGUUUCAAAGCUUCAAGUGCCUGUCUGAUCAACCUCGUAUUCGUAGAGGAAAUUCAACCUGGUAAUUGGAAUUCGCUUCAGUUCUUGCACUUCUUUGGUUGCUAAGGCAUUGAAAUAUUUUGUUUAAAGGGAUGCAAAACCUCUCGUCUCUUAAAUUUCUGGCUGAGUUGCUGUACAAGUCUGAAAUUAGAGGAAAUUGCAAUGGGAGGGAUCUCUGUCUGGGUUGCUCUUACCCAUUUGGAGGUCAUUGAAAUCUGGGAUUGCCCCAACUUUGAGGCACUGGUUUCAUAAGAUUUUAUUUUAUUUUAAUUAAUUUAUAAAAUGUUUAUAUAUUUAGGGUCUGUUUGAUUGCCAGUAAAAUAUUUUUCGUAAAAUGAUUUCUGGAAAAUAUUUUACUUUUCUGUAAAAUGAUUUACUGGAAAAUAUUUUUUGGUGUUUGAUUGAAUCUGUGUAAAAUAUUUUCUGCUGCUUGGCAGAUUUUUUGAAAAUAUUUUUCGGAAAAGUUAUUUUUACAUAUAUUAAUAUAUAUUAAUAAAUUUUUAUAUUUUAAAUUAUUUUUACAUAUAUUGCAAUGAUUUAUUUAUAAUAAUACUCAAUUAUUAAGUUACAAUAUUAAUCGUUAUAAAUUGAAAAAAACUAAUAUCAAAUAAAUUAUUUGUAAUUGUGUUAAAAAAUAAGUAUUGAAUAAUUAAAAAAACAAGUUACUGGAAAAUCGAUAAACAGAAGCAGUUUUCUACCGGAAAUGAAGGAAGGAAUGAAGGAGGUGAUAGAGAGGAGAGUACGCAAAAUGUCUUACGGAAAUUGAAAGGGUAAGACAUUUUCCCUAAAAUGUAACCCAUUUUCCUUUGUUUUAGAGUUCAUUUUCCAAAUGGAAAAUAUUUUCCGCCAAUCAAACGCUGGAAAAGUUAGAAAUGAUUUUCCGGAAAAUCAAUUCUAUCAAUCAAACAGACCAUUAGUUUAGAAUCCAUUUUGAUUAUAUGUAUGUAACAUGCCCCAGAAUUUUCUAAUUUCUUUUAAAUGAUGUAUAUUUGAAACAAGUUGAUUUUUAGAAGAUAUAUCUAAUUCAAUUAGAAAAAUAAGAAUAAAUUUUCAUUUUUUUUAUAUAUUUUUAGUUUUAAAGUUUUUAUCUACUUUUUUUAUACGAAAUAUUUAAAUGAUUUACAACAUAUUAUUUGAUGUAUUGAUUUUAGCUAUUUUACCACUUUAGUCUUUAAACUUACAUUGUUUGUUAAAUCACUCCAAAAUAAAUGGAAAAAUUAAUGUUUGUUAAUUUUGUUGAUAUGUCAUACACGUGACAUAUCAGUUAUUAAAUAAUUUUAAAAAUUUUAAAAAGUUCAAGUAUUAAAAUUUUAUAAAGUAUUAAAAUUGUUAAAAAAGUACAAAAAUAUUUUUUAAAUUUUUAGAAAAUUAAUUCAUUGUUAACACGUGACAAUCCACGUUUAUGUCAUAUCAGCAAAGUUAACAAACGUUAACUUUUUAUACAUUUUUGGGUGAUUUGACAAAUAAUGUAAGUUCAAGAGCUAAAAGAGGUAAAAAAAUUAAAUAGUGGACUAAAAUAACUUUCUUUUCUUGUAAAGAUAGAGGACCAAAUAAGUCAUUAUGCCAAAAAAAUAGAACUGAAAAAUCGAUUAAAAUUUGAUAAAUGUUAUAAAAUAAAGAGAGAUGGGGAGAAUAAAGAACAAAGAAAAUAUAAAAGUAACAAAGAAUGUACUUUAUUGAUCAAAAUGGGUGGUUACAAUGUUUCAUCAGUGUCUCUAUUUAUAGGCAUAAGAAGUAUAAAAGAAGUAGAGAUCUAAUUCUAAUAACUAUUAAAAUUUAAAGUAUACCAAAAUUUUAUCUUGAUCGUGAUGGACAUGCUCUUAAUAAGAUAUUCAUAAUACUCCCCAUUGGAUGUCCAUUGGUAAAUAAUGUGACUCAUUAAUACCUUAGGUAAAUAAUGUGCCUCAUUAAUACCUUAUUAGGAAAAACCCUAUGGGAUAAAAACCUAACGAGGGAAAAAGAGUACACAAUCUAUAAUACGUAUAAUAUGUUGCCUCAUUAAAAACCUUACCAGGAAAAUCCAAUGAGACAAAACCUCGGUUAAGGAAAAAAGAAUAUAACGCAUAUUUACUCUUCCUCAUGAAAACAUCACAUAUUUUCUCGUAUUCUACGUAUUCAAAACUUUAUUUUGAUCAUGGUGGACAUCCACUUAAUAAUAUAUUCAUAACAAUAAAAUCAUUUAUACUAUUAUUUAAUCCUGUAAUUGAAUUGUUGUCAUGAGUAAACUAGGUACCCAUUCAAUUAGUGCAAUUAUAAAAAUAUACGUUCAUAAUUAAAAUAAGUUAUAUUAUUCGAAAGCAUUUUCAUCUUUUUAAUUUUAAAAAACAAAUAAAAAUUUACAUGUGGUUAGAUUUGAACUCACGCUAUUUACAUAAAAGGUUAACAUGUAGUUUGCCCUUUAAACUUAUCCAAAAGUAUCUAGUUGGUACUUGAACUUUUUUACCUAGUUGGUACGGGUACCUAAACUUGUAUUCUGUCACCCAGGCUGGUACCUCCUCACUAACACUGUUAGUUUGUGUUGACAUGUACUGAUAGCCAAUAUAGUGGUGACACGUGGUAGCUUCUCAAUAUGGCAUGUGAUGAGCAUAAAUUUUAAAAAAAAACUUUAAAAUUAAAUUAAUUAAUAAAAAAGUAUAAAUUUUUAUCUAGGUUCAUCCUUGAUAUGAAUAAAAUUAUAUUUUUUAUUAAUUUAUAUAUUUUUAAAUUUAUAUCUACCACGUGGCAUACUGAGAGGUUGUCAUACGUCACCAAUAGAUUGGCUAUCAAUGCCACGUUAGCAUAAACUAACGGUGUUAUUGUAGAGGUAUCAACCUAGAUGACAGAAUACAAGUUUAGGUAUCAACUAAGUUCAAGUACCAACUAGGUACUUUUGGACAAGUUCAAUGGGUAAACUACAUAUUAACCCCUACAUCAACAAAACAUUUAACUUUACCAUUAAACCAAAGCUUUAUUGUAAUAUAAUUUUUACAUUUUAAUUGUAUUAUGCAUAUUAUUUUCCCAUCAAUUGUAUAUAUUGAUAAUAUUGUUAAGUGACUUGGUGUCACAAGUCAAAGCAACACUAGCUUAAUAUUGAUGACAACACUGUGAUAUUAUUUAUGUAACGACCCAAUUUUUAGUGGUAUCGAAAAAUGUGGUUUUGGGACCCCAUUUGCGUAACCCAAAUUCGUAAAUAUUAAAUAGGGAUAUUUAUGGAGUUAGUGUAUAGAUUAAUUAAAAUUUGGAUAAGUAAUUUAGCUGAAAUUGUGAUUAAUUAGACCUAGGGACUAAAUUGUAGAAGAUAUUGAUUAAUUGUGAUUAAUUGUGACUAAUUUGCGUAACCCAAAUCCGGUUUUAGGGACUAAAUUAAAUAAAUUAUAAAAUUUGUGUAAUUUGGUAUUUGAUUCUAAUUAGGCUAGAUAUUGAUUGUAUAAUAUGUUUUAUAAUUAUUUGUAGCUAAUGACAGUACCGAAUAGCUGAGAGGGAAAGGAAAAGCAAAAAUCAUUGACGAGUGAUGCAUGAAACCUUGAUUUGUACUUUUAUGAUUCAGGAUAGAAAUAUUUGAUUUCAUAUGCAUGUUUAUUGGUUGUUGAAUUAUUGAGGUGAGUUUAUUAUGAUAAUAUGAAAUAUUUUGAUUGAAUUUGAUAUGAAAUAUCAAGAUUAGAGAAUUAAAAUGAAUAAAAUAGGAAAUGAUAUGAAAUACUUAAAUUAUGAUAUGUGAUAUAAAAAUUAUAUCGAAAUAUAAUUUUUCAACUUAUUCUUUUGCCUAUCUAAAUAACUGUUUGAACAACUAUUGCACCAGAUUUAAUUUUCCACAAGUCAUUUUUCAACUUGAAAUAGUAAGGCCUAAUAUAACUAGCCUUCACACAAUAAUGGAAAACCAUUCUCCUUGUUUUAUUCCUCCCUUUCAUAUUGUUGCAAACAUGUUGCUGUCUAAGUGAUGUUCUGUUCAAUAUUGCAACAUUAGAUUGAACAGAUCUUAUUUUUCUCCACCUUUGAUCUUUCAUCAGCUUGUAACGAUAAGAUCUAAUAUGUUUGGCCUUUCCACAAUACUAACAAACAUAUUUUCUAUUAUUCUUUUUACUUGUCUUAAAAGAAGAAAUAACAACCAUAUUUUAUAUCUAAUAAAAUUCCUAGGAGAUAUAGGUUUCUUACCAAGUUCAAUUUGACCAAGUUCGAAUCUCCUGACAACAAAUAUCUCAUCACUUUGGCUUUCACAUUUCUUGAGAGUGGCUUCGACAUCAUUUAACUCUUACUCAUUUGUUUUCAAAGUUGCAUCUUUUUUUUUAUAUAGUUUUAUCAAGCAUUUCAUUAGCUUUUUUAAAAUCAACAAUCAUAUCAUAUCUUUUUUACCACAGUUUCAAGUCUUUAUUAUUUGGCUAAACACAUCCUUUAGGUUGAAAAAAACAUCAUUUUCAUUUUCUAAUUUAAUGCUUUAAUCACCAAUUGGACGUGUGAUAGAACCACCUUUCUUAUUGGACUUCAUUAUUGCAAACCGUAGUUUAGGAUCCCUUUCAAGUAUGUUUGAAGUCAAGCUCUGAUACCAAUUGCAAUAACCUCGAUUUGCUUUGUGUUCAAUUCGAUAUUCAGAUAGUAUGUUUAGACAAUAUGUUCAAACAAAUGUUAGAAUAGAACAUAGACAGUAUGCAAAUAAGAGAAUAAGAGAAACAAACACAAGAAAUUUAUUAACACAAUUCAGAUUCACCAAUCCUACUUUGCAAAACCUUACUUAGUAAAUGAUUUUAUUCAACAAUUGAUCUAGUAACCUAUUGACUAAAUCUCAAUGUACCCUUACACAAAGAAGUGAUUGUAGCCCCAAUAACUAACCCCGACUUGUUACAAAUCAUUCACCCAAAAAACCUCACAAUACAACUAGUAAAACUCUCCAAUAAGCCUACUAAAUGAGUGCAAAAAAUAAAAGGAAAAAUAAACUAAAUCAGCACAAGCAAUCUCCUAGCUUUCUCUUCAACAUGCAAAUUGAUGCCUAUUUAUAGGCCAAAUAAGGCAACCUUCAAGAUCAGAUUUUGUAGAGAUAAAUACUUCAAUUUGGUGCAUAAUAAUUCAAGAUAAAAGCCUCCAAAAAUUAUCCCAAAAUACAACCUUAUCAUUAAGUAAAAUCAUCAGCUUAACCAUAAAUAGCUUAAAGGAUAAAGAUAAAUAUAAGCAUUAUCCAAUAAGGCAAGUCGAUCAAAUCAUCCUUAAGCCACCAAUUUCGAUUAUCAUGGUUUGAGAUGGAUUACAAUACAUCUUGGAAUCCAUUUGCUUAUGGUAAAAUCAUGUGUAAAGGAUCUCGUGUCUGAACAAGUGUUUAAAUAGUUGUUUAAACAUGUUUGUUUGAACAAGAGUCGAGUCAUCAGUCUUGAAAAGCUUUGGUCUUAACAAGUUAGUCGACUAUUUUAAGUAAUUUACUUUUUAAAAUAUGUAUUUUUAAUUUUGGUGUGAAUUUUUCCUUUAAUUUUAUAAAAUUAUUAGAUUAUGGCAUGUUUAAUAUAGGUGAAUAUAUUUAUACAAAAUUCAUAUAAGAUUAAAACGAAGCUUUAGUUAAAUUAAUAAAAAAUCAAAUAUCUUGAUAAUAAUGAUUUGAUAUUACAUAUGCAUCUUUGUAUUUUUUUUAUAGUGAACAAAUAUGAUAUAUUUUUCUCCUUUUUAUCUUUUAAAUGUACAAAAAUAUCGAGGUUUAAAACAAUGUUAUUUUAAAUUAUUUUCAAAACCGAUGAACAGAACCAAGGGCAAAAUCAACAAAUUUUUUAGAGGCCAAAAUUUAAUUGUAAUUUUUAUGAUGGUAAAAAUUACAAUUUCAUCAUUGUGAUAGCCUAUAGCUUUAUAGUUUUUAAAUGAAUAAAUCCAAUUUUUAUAAUUUUAGAAGGACUAAAGUGUAAUUUUAUCUUUAUUAAUUUAAAAUAAAUGUCUAAAUGAAUUUUUCGAUUUUAGAGGAUUGGGCCUGUGACCCCUAGUUUCUCCAUGAAGAGAACCAUUGUCAACUCUAGCUUCCGAACAAAUUAUAUGAAAAGAACUAAAAUCUCUGAAAACAUAUAACACAGGGACCUAAUAUAGAAUUAGACCAAACUGAUAAAGGAAAUCAAGCUAGAAAACUGUAGGGGGAUUUACAUACUUGCAGCGAGUCAGCAAUUUUCUAUCUCGCAGUUUCCUCGGGACUUUCAUUUGAAAAAGAAAAAAGGAGUUCAUUACUUCUCUGCUUCAGCUACUCCUUGUAACGAUUUUUCUUUUCCUUUUCAAUUUGGUCCUUUCAAUUUUCUUGUUGGAUUUGAAGCAGUAAUCCUUUUCCGAAUCGUUGAAUUCCUCUGUGAAAAUUUCUGAUCGGUGUUUCAUCGCUCCGUUGAAGAAUGCCGUCGUCGCCACGAAAGAAUUAGUAAAACGGAAAACAAACGGAUAAAACUAGAAUGCGAACCAUUUGCGACGUCUGCGACAGCGCCGCCGCGAUCAUAUUCUGCGCCGCCGACGAGGCUGCUCUCUGCCGUUCCUGCGACGAAAAGGUCUAUUUUAUCAUUUCAUUGCCAUUUUAGUACAAUUAAUUGAUAUCCGCAUAUUUAUACACGUCUACGUAUAUAUGUAUACUUGAUGUACUCCAAAUUCUGUAUAUUCCUAAAUUAGCCGUAGUUUAUAUAUAUAAUUAUUUCUGAAAUUAAAUCAAUAAGGAAACUUUUUAUUGGGAGUUUUUAGGUUCACAUGUGUAACAAGCUUGCCAGCAGACAUGUCAGAGUUGGUUUAGCCGACCCCAGCAAUGUCCCACGCUGUGAUAUAUGUGAAAAUGCACCUGGUAUAUAUAUGUCCUUUUUAAUUGUAUAAUUAUUGUGUAAACUACAGUUUUUUGGAAAUUUGUUCAUUUGUUGAUAUUUUUGUACGUAGCUUUCUUUUACUGUGAAGUGGAUGGUAGUUCCCUUUGCCUGCAAUGUGAUAUGAUUGUACAUGUUGGAGGUAAAAGAACCCAUGGGAGGUAUCUCUUGUUGAGGCAGAGAGUUGAGGUUUGUCACUCUUUAGUAGGCAACAUUUUAUGUUUUCAUGUAAUUUUUGGAAAGCCUGCUAAAAUUCUUCCUUUGCUUGUAGUUUCCAGGGGAUAAGCCUGGUCGUUUGGAGGAACCAGGUUUACAACCGUUCAGUCCGAAUGAAGUAAGGAAGGAUCUGAAUCAGCAGUCAAAGCUUGCAGUGAGAGAGAACCGGCAAAACCAUGGAGUCUCUCAUGUUCCAUUGCAUGAUGAUAAUGCUAAGGCUGAUGGAGAGGUAGGAAAUGAGUUGAUUGAUCUAAAUGCCAGGCCACAACAGGUGCAGGGGCAAGCUUCGAUCAAUCAGGUAUCUUCGAUUGACUAGCUUUUUUCGUUCUUUGGACUUGAUUGAUGAGGUGACUGUUUUGUUUUUUAAGGAGCAAGCCAUGGAUGUUUCGAGUGGCAAUUAUCAUGACACUACUAGUGGGAUCCCUGAUGGAUCCUUCAAACAAGAGCCUGAAAAAUGAGCUAGGUAUAACUAUUAUCCCCUACUUAUACUGUUGACUUUGUUUAAGAGCAUUGCAACCAUGUGGCUCUAAGAUUUUUCUGUUUUUAUGUGCAUUUCUUGAUAAUUCAUUAUAGAUGCUCAUUAUGUAUUUGAAUCUGUGUGAUAUCAAAUUAAUGAAGUGUACAAAUAAUUAAUAGGAUUUCCCAAGCAGGUUGGCUUCCUUUCACACGACAUUGGUGCUUAGAUAUUAUUUUAAAAGACUUGUCUGGUUUUUCAAAGUAGAGCUUGACCUGCUGAGCAAUUCCUGAUUCUCAUAGUCAUAUGAGAAACAGAUGGAUCGGCAUCUAGUUGUUUAUGAAAUAUUAAACUACAGAGUAAGAAUGUCUAGGCUUUUCUAUUAGGGGCAAGUUCUGCGUUUUUGAGAGAAAUGGUAUCCUGUGCAAGUAAUCUUUAACCUUCAUGCACGUGGAAAGUCAGCUUCUGCUGGCCUAUCUGUCUCAUGGUUUGUUUCUCUUAUUUAGGCUCGUGUCGAACAAAACUAGUCCGUCUGGUUAUAGGUUUAUACAAAAACUAUAGUGCUAUCAUUUUCUACUGGCAAAAGGAUAUAAUUUUGAUGAAAAAGCAAUAAUGUUUUGUUACUGAAGUUGAUUGGUCCUUUGUUUGUGAUGAACUUCCCAUGGCUAAAGCUUCCUUUCUUUUAAGUCCAGAUAUUGGAUCAAUUUACACCUCAAGUUUUGUUGCUAUCAUGUCUGAGAUUUUCUUAAUAAAUCACACAACUACCAUGUUUGUUAGCUCAUUUUUAUCAGGGCAUUUGCUUUGAUUCAAGUCUAUGACAAUUAAGAGUAAGACAAACAACUGGGAAAUAUAGUCGCUUAAACAAGUAGUAACUGUUGCUAGGUCUACAAUUUCUCUUACGUUCCCCUCAAAACAUGCACACACAUAUAUGCACACACACAAACCUUUCUUUCUACUCCUUUGAUAAUUGAAUGAGGUUUCUUAUCAAAUAAUGUUGUCCAAAUUUUUGGCUGCUGUAGAUAUAGCUGGAUCAGUUUUCUCACAUCUAUGUAUUUAUUGAGUAAAGCGCUUGCCUUUGUCAGAUAUGUCUUCCUUCCCCAUGGAUUAGUCUCUGUCUAUUCAAUUCCUUUACACAAAUGAAAACUUUUGAAGAAAACUUUUACCCAUGUACCAAAAUCAACAUUCUUGCUUAACCGAAAAUAGUUGUGACAUUUAUGCUUGUUUGAAUUGCCAACUAUACAUCCUUUGUGAAUGACCAUUCAUUUAAAUUUCCUGAACAUUAUUGCUGGUGUUAGUAACUGUAUGAAAUUGAAUAACAAAGAAUAAUUUGGAAAAUAGAAUGAAUGACUGAAUAUUCUAGUAUUAUUAACUUGCUUGGAUCAGUACAACAAUAGGACUUAUAUACUUGAGUGAGACUAACUGCUGCUAACCAAUCUACUAACAAUAUGCCAGUCUGUAUAACAGAUUAAUAACAACCUAACGUAUUCUUAUACUCUAACAGCUGGUGAUUACAAUGACUAGUUGCCAUCAAAUUUUAAGUGGGAAAUAGAAGAGUAAUGGAGGGGAAAUUUUCACUUUUGAAAGGAAAAAUUCCCCCUCUUGUUUCUCCGGAAAAUUUCUUUUCUUUUUUGGUUCGAAUUUUGGGGCCGGAAGCAGAACAAGCAGUGGGAGACUAUGAAUCAUGUUGCUCUUACACCCCUUCUUAGUGGCAUCCAAUUUUACCUUUGUUUAACUUCCAUUAUGGCGUUUCUUCUACUUUUGCCACACUCCAAUAGCAGCUGAAUUUUUUUUGAUGGAAUCCAAUAAUAAGAUGGAGAAAUAUUAUGAAAAACACAGUUUAAUUGUGUAAGUAGAUCCGUCUAUGGAUUGGGUGCACUCAGGCACGUGUAAGUCUAUUUCAAUUUUUAUGCAUAAUGAUCCAUCCUCUUAAAGUUAAAAAUUCCUCGGAAAAUGGAUCGAUCAUUAAAAGAGAAUCUGUUUCUCUUAUAAUUUGAGCAAAUCAUUUCAUGUCCAAUUCUUGAUUCAUUUUUGAACGGAUUUUUUUAGUCCAACAUUUCCAAGCAGACAUCAUCAAGCAGGAUCGAGAAAUGGUAAUGCGGAAGUUAAUCAGAUCAGUUUACCCUAAUUUUUCGGUGGCUAAAAUGCAGAUUCAAGCUUGUUUUAGUAUUUAUGAUGAUGCAUUUAUAAGUAAUCUCAUCAGCAAGAAGUUUAUUUAACAGUACAUUGCAAUCCAGAACAAAAAGUAGUCUCCAGAGCCUAUAAAACAUUCAACACAAAGAGAAAGAAACCAUAUCAUGAAAUCUCCAUCAUCUCAGCUAAAGCUUUGUUUGCAGCAGCUUAGUAGACGUAGCCCUUUACGAACAUUCCUUUCUUGGCCUCUUCUGAUUCUCCCUCGCCGGUGUAUUUCCCGAGCUGAGCGAGUGAGUUGGCUUUGGCACGGACAAGGAGUGCAUCCUGAGCAGCCUUAACGUUCUCGGGUCUGCCUCCCCAUGUCUUCAAGCAAGUGUUCUGGAGAGCUCUGGCAUACGAGAACGAGACGUGCCAUGGGUUUGGAGAUUGGUUCAUUGCGUUCAAGUUGAGGGUUGCUUCAACCUCGGAUUGUCCGCCAGACAAGAACUGCACAACAGAAACGGUUUGUCCAAUCCGUUAGUACGGUUCAUUUUAUUAUUUCACAAUGCUUUCGUAUAGAAAAUGUACCAUGAUUCCAGGAACAGCUGGGGGGAUUCUCCUGUGGAGGAGCUUGAGGGUGUAAUCAGCAACUUGCUGUGGGGUGGCCUUGUCUUUGCAUUCAGCACCAGGAGUGACCAUGCUGGGCUUGAGAAGGAUGCCCUCAAACAUGACAUUGUUCUCAGCAAGGUAGAAGAAAACCUCAGCCCAAACCUUCUGCGCUACUUCGAAAGUCCUAUCAAUUCCAUGGUCACCAUCAAGCAAGAUUUCCGGCUCCACAAUCGGGACCAGUCCACUGUCCUGCAACACAAUGGCCACAAAAAUCACUUCUCGACAACAAGUAGCAUACACAUAAUGAUUGCUCCACAGCUUCAUCUAUCAACUUACUUGAGAAAUGGCGGCAUAGCGAGCAAGUCCCCAAGCUGCUUCUUUCACUGCCAAGGCAGAUGGACCAUUUGGAAUGCUCACAACAGUACGCCUGUCCGAUCAAAAAGAGCUAAUAGAGUUAUACAAGAAUCCUUUAUUUCAACACUGCAUAAUAUGGUUGAGAAGUCAUCGAACCAUUUGGCGAAACGAGCACCCUGCUGGUAGUAGGCAGCUGUGCGGGAUGAAAGACCGUCAAGACCUUGGCACCAUGACUCGUUGUUGGAACCAGGGAGUGGAACCAAACCCUGUUAUUUUGUUUACCAAAUCAUUCAGUUCCAAGUAUCCUCUAUAAAGAUAUGAAUUUGUGGGUGCUUUUUGGUUAAGCUUUAUACCUUGUCAACUUUGAUACCAGGGACAAUCUUUUGCUCAACAAGAACAUCGACCAUCUUUUUCCCAUCGAUGGUAGAUUGGUAGAGAGUCUCCUCGAAAAGGAUAGCUCCCGAGAUGUAGUCACCGAGGCCAGGGGCAGACACGAGAAGGGUACGGUAAGCUUGCCGGUUUGCCUCGGUAUUCUCGAGACCAAUCGAGGCAAGCCGUUUCCCACAUGUAGCAUUUGAUUCAUCCAUGGCCAGAAUACCACGACCUGGAGAUGCAACAGUUUUCUACAUCCAAACAAGAAAUAAUAUUUAAGCAUGCACGAGAUAAAAAUACGAUUCAAGACUACAUUAAUUCUAAUUAAGUACCGCGGUCUUAACAAGCUCAUCGGCAUAUGAACUAGCACGGACGGCAAAGGCGGCCGAUGUAGGGUGUGACCGUACAAAACAAACCGAAGGGUGGCGGAGGUUUUGGCCCUUAAUCCACUCGGACUUGUCGAUAAUAGGUGAAGACUUGAGGAGAGUAGCGGAAGCAGAAGCCAUUUUUCUUGGGCUUUGAGAGGGCUAAUCAAUGAAGCAAGUCGAAGGGGCUUUAUUAUGUUUAGUUUUUCACUAUAAUCUUAUCUCUUCAAUCCUGGCCUUCCUUCACCACACAUGCAAGUCUCACUCACUGGAUUUUAUACUUGCGUUUGUCUAUACUAUCACUAUACCAGAAGAUGUCGCAUUUGAGGCUGUCGUGCUCCGACCAAUGCCCUUGUGCCAUGUAGAUGAUAAUUUUGCACACUUGGCCGGGAUGCAUUCCGUGGUUGAUAUGGAUGAUUCUAUACUCACCUCGUAAAACAUUGUUUCAAAUAGGUUGAUUUUUUUCCCUUUUUUUCAAUUUGCUUUUAUUUUUUAUUUAAUUUAAAAAAAAUUUAAAGGUUUACUAUAACAUUUGUUACCUGAAUUUGACACUUUUUUCUAUUUUGGUACCUAAUUUUUUUGGUCCAAUUUGAUAUUCAAACUUGACUCAUUUUUCUAAUUUGAUACCUAAUCUUUUUUUGGUUCGAUUUGGUACUUGUCAAAUGUUUUACAAAUUACUCCAAUAUCUAACAAUGUUAUUCUUUUACAAGGUAGCAAAAAUAAUCAAUGUAUUUUAUAUGUUCAAUUACUUUUAGUUUUAUUUAAUUAAUUAUUUUAUUAAUUGAAAAUAAUGAAUUUCUUUUAAUUUGGAGUUUUUUAAAAUAUUUUUUUCUUAUUUAAUACUAAUUCAUUAACCAUAGUCAAAUAUCUAGUUUUUUAACAUGAAUUUCCUAUAACACUAAGGGCACGUUUGGUUCACUGUAUUGAAUUAGAGGUGUAUUGGAUUAGAGGUAUAAUGGAAUAGAGGUGUAAUGGAAUAGAUGUGUAAUAGCAAAUCAACUGUUUGGUUGAAUGUAAUGGAAUAGAGGCGUAAUAGUAAUCUUGUGUUUGGUUGAAUAGAAUAGAGGUGUAAUAGCAUAAUGGAAAAAACUAAAAUGACUAGAAUACCCUUAGCAUAAAUUUGUUUUGGUAUAUGAUUAUUGUUAUUGUUAUUUAAAUUUUAAUAAUAUUAUUAUUAUCAAUAAUAAAUAAUUUAAUCAUAUUUAAACAUAAUUAUUAUUAAAUAUAUUUUAAUUAAAAUAUAUAAUUUAAUAAAAUUCUUAAUAAUCAAUAUUCUUAUAUGAAUUUACUCAAAUCAUAAUAUAUGAUACUAUAAAAUAUAAAUUAACAUAAUUAUUAUUAAAUAUAUUAUAAUUAAAAUAUAUAAUUUAAUAAAAUUCUUAAUAAUUAAUAUUCUUAUAUGAAUUUACUAAAAUCAUAAUAUAUGAUACUAUAAAAGAUAAUUUGAAAUAAUUAAUAUUAAAUAUAUUUUAAUUAAAAUAUAUGAUUUAAUAAAAUUUAAAAUAAUUAUAACUAAUAAAUUAUCUUAUAUGAAUUUGUAUAAUUUAAAAUAAUUAUUAUUACAUAUAAUUUAAUAAUAAUAUAUAAUUUCAUAAAAUUCUUGAUAAUAAAUUUUCUUAUAUGAAUUUAUACAAUUUAAAAUAAUUAAUAUUAAAUAUAAUUUAAUAAUGAUAUAUAAUUUCAUAAAAUUCUUAAUAAUAAAAUGUUCUUAUAUGAAUUUACUAAAAUCAAAAUAUAACUUAAGAAUUAUAAUCUGCAUAAACACUCAAUCCGAGUUCCAAACAUACGUGCCAAGGAAGACGAUUAUUAAACGUGUCAUUGUAUUAUUUUGGCUUGUUUCAUGUUUAAGUUGAUAAGAGAAUUCUUGGACCGCCAAGAUUUACAUAAAUUAAGUAAAAUUUAGUUUCAACUGUAUCGGUUCAAAACAAGUAAGAUUUGCCAGUCCAUGCUUUGCUGGCUUUUAAGUUUAAAACAGAUGGCAUAUAGCUGACAAUUUUCAUCGAGGAAAACAAGUAGUCUGUUCUACCCAAAAUAUCUCAAGAGUUUUAAACAAAAGGUAGUUAGUUAGAUGUAAACACGCCUUUUCUGAAACCUACAAAUGUCAAUGGCUAGUUCUUAAUUACAAGCAGAUCAUCCUCCUUGCAUAUGGGCACCUAGUUCACCAAACUGAUCAUCAGCUUCCACAGUAUCCUCAGACAGGCGAACUGCAUCCAGCUUCUGUUUCAAGAUUUCUAUAGCAUUAAGAACCAACUGAGAAGCUUUGAUCGCACCAGUGGAUUCAACUGUAAAGAUGAAACUGUCUUCUUUGGCAUAUAUCUCCACAAGACCUGGCUUGCCCAUAGCUUCAGCUUUCUUUAGCACCUCAUCGUCAUAGGUAUACGCCUCUGGAUCAACCACCACAACCUGUUUUCAAGAUAAAAAUAGAAUUCAUAGUUAGCAGCGCCAACAGCAGCAGCAGUGAAAUAGCAUAACCUCCAAUUUUUGGCUCACAAUAUAGGGACUGAACGAAUGCACUCAACAUACAUGAAACAUAUGAUGCUCAAGCAAGUCAGAACAGCUAUCUACACAAAAUAUGAGGCAAAAAACAAAGCACUAAUCAAACGAACUAAUUCCGAAAUGCUCCAACACUCACUGCAAUAAUAGUCAGUAACAACAUUACGGUAUCAUUGGAGACUUCCUAUAGAAACAAGGUUUUCAAUACAGUAAUGGCAGCAGUAGCAAGCAGGCCCCAUUUAAAUGAAAGCAGAAAGAAAUGUAGUUUGACACCUCGUAUCUUUAGCUUUGAGAUAAACACAGGGUGGUAUUAACAGCCCUAAUACAAGGAGAAACACUCCAAUCCAGAAACCUAAACUGAAGCUCAAGUUCCAUCAAUAUCCUCAUGAUUCACAAAAGUAAAAGGCACAUAAGAGGAACUUUUGUAAGAAACAUAUAAAGACAAAAUGCUACUAAAACACAUCCACAUUUUAAGCUCAAGCAAACUAGAAACUCUAAAAGAAAAGACCUUGAUGACGUGCAAAGCAAUUCAAUCCUCCUAUUGGACAGACCAUAGAUGUAAUUAAUCAAAACUAGCAUUUGCUUUAACAAUCCAGAAGCUCUAGUGAUAGCCAACACAACCCAAAGCUUAAUCCCAAACAAUUUCUUUGUUAGAAUAGAUGUAAUGAUGUAGAAAGUAAAGGCAUAGCAUACCUGUUGGGUAUUUGGGUCAAUGUCAAAGAAUAAGAUCAUUGCUCUGCAUUUUAUGAAGUAUUGAUUAGACUUGGCAAUUAAUUAUAACGGCACAGCCCUUAUAGAACUCGGGAAGAUUGUGAAACUUGUAAACCUCGUUAACAGCCUGAAUUUGCUUAGUUAUCUGCGAGUUAAUUGCAACAAAGUAAAUGCCAUUUAUUUGGAAAUAAAAGAACAGUGGAAUAUAGAGGGAAAAGAAAAAGAACUGCAAGAUGAGCAUCCCGAUUUGUUCUACAUAAGAUAGCCAUCCUACUGAGAGCAGAUACGACUUAAAUACUUAAUUGUCAGGAAAUGAGAAUAGAACAAAUACCCGACCAGUAUGACAAACCAGUGCAAAAUAAACAUUAUUUAGAAGUUUUUAAAAUAUAAACAUCAUUCAAAUAUGGGCAUGAACUAUGAAGUAUGACUCUCCAAAUAUAUACAAGUGCCGAAUGUCAUUUAACUAUCCAAAGUAUGACUAGAUAUUGGAAAAGGUUCAACUAUCCAAAGGAAUUACAAUCAUGUCAAAUACUAUGAUAUAGGCAACCACUCAAUACAAUUUUUAAACUCGAAAACUGCAUUAACAUACGAGAAUCAAAAUCAGAUAGAACACGAAAUAGAACUCAAAUCUCAUUGACCAAAACAACAAACAAACGGGUAUAUUUUAGUUUAUGCAAAGUCAAUCAUCACUUAUUAACUAAUAUCAUUACAAAAGAAUAAAAUUACAAUGCUUUUCAGCCAGCUAUCCGAAAGAAACCACUAAAUGUUUACCUCAGACAUGUGAAGCAUGGCCAUUACCACCCAAUUCCACAACAGCCGACUUCUCUUUCACCAAACCAUCUUCUUCUUUAAUCCCACUAUCGAGAUCAUCAUCGGAAUCCAAAGUGAAAUUCCCCCCAUUACUAUCCAUUAGCUGUAUUUCAGCCCCUAAUGGCUUAUACCGCAAACCAUCCCCUGAAGCACCAACAACAACACCGUUUCGUUUGCCAAUAAGCGAUAACAUCCCAACAACCAGAACCACAAGCAAAGCAAGAUGGCAAUUGAAUUGCAAUGUGGCAAUAAACCUUGCUCUAUGAUAAUCAGGGUGACUUCUGCAUUUAAUAGUAUAAUUCCCUCUACUUUUUUCAUGUAAGCUACAUCUAUGAACCAUCAAAUUAGUGUAAAAUGAAAAUCCCAUUUGCACAAACCAUGUUCCGUGUAAAAUCAACCCAAUACCUCGUACCGAUUUCGAGUAAAUGGACCUAUUAGAUCUCAAUUCUAACAUUGUUGAAACCACACAAAUUGCUAUGGGAACACAUAAAAGAUCAAAAUAUCUAUACUCAAUCCCACUUGUAUCCUUUCUUUGCAAGUAAUACAACAAAAAUUCUUCAACAAAAGCUAAAAGCAGAACUAAUUCAAGAACAGGAUCAGGCCAAAAGUAUGAACCUUUCUUAUUAUUUAAAAGACCCAAAGCAGAGUAAAGCAAGAAGAGUAGAGCAAGUGAGAGCACUUGUAACUGGAGCACCGUCCCCACCCGAUCUUUUGAACUGAAAGCAUCAAAGAUUGAAACCACAGAAUUUAAGAAAAUCGAAAGGGAAAAGAUUGAUACAAAGAUGAAAGAUGGUGAAGAAGAAAAAUGGUUCUCUUUAGUUUUAGAAAUAGAGGCAGAUUUGAUCUGGGUUGAAAGUGAAGAAGAAAAUGGAGUUGGACUCGGGUUGAGGCAGAGGGUAAAACAUGGAGGGAAAACUGAAGAGGCAUCUAAUCUGGGCAAAAGAGAGGGAUUAGAAAUCGGUGGUUUUCACUGAUUAGAAAAGUAAUGUAUUACACGCGUAUUAACAAUACAUUGAACCAAACGACGAAAUAAAGAGGGAUUAGUGAGGCCCACCGAUUAGGGGUGUAUUGGCUAUGCCAAUACACCCAACCAAACAAGGCAUACAAUAUUUUUAUAGCAUAACCAAAAAAAUUUUAACACCGUUAGUGCUUUGCAUAAUUUGUAUAACAUUUAAUAAAUUUAGGUACUAAAUUGAACCUAAAAAAAACUUAGGUACCAAAUUAGGAAAAAAUGUCAGGUUCAGGUGCCAAAUUGGGCCCAAAAAAAUUUAGGGACCAAAUUAGGGAAAAAAAAUGUAAAAUUUAGGUUCCAAAUGUUACAUUAAGGCGAAAUUAAAAUAUCAUUCAUUCUGUGUUGUAGCUACUUUUUCCAACAAUAUAUUUUUAAAGUUUGAUCGUAAAUUUUGUCUAAAAGUACAAUAUGCCUUACUAUUACAUUUAAUAUUUGUUCAUAAAGCCAAAAUGUAAUUAAUAAUAUUAUUAACAGGUUUCUUUUUUUUCUUUUUUUCUUUGAAUAAUAUUAACAGGUUUCUAUUAAACUAGAAUAUGUGGCAUUUUAAAUGGGAUGAUUGAGUCGAUUAUAUUGAUAAUAAACUUAAGUGGAUAAAAAUUUGAAAAGUAUAAAAAUUGGAGGGUUAAAAUAUGUAAUAUAGUUGCUGUACUUUUUGAAAAUUAAGAAUUUAGUCAUUGUAUUUGUAUUUUCAAAUUUUAAAAUUUAAGUCAAUCUGCUAACACUAGACUUGAUCAUUGGUCAAGCUGAGUUCGGGCCAAGUCAAUGUAGAAAUUUAGGUCUGGACUCGGCCCGAAAAAUAGACUUAAAAUUCUAUUCAAAUCUGACUCAAAUUAAAUAUGUUAAACUCAAGCCCGACACGACUUAUCCUAUUAAAAUUUUUAGAUUAUUUUUUAUAUUUAAAAAUAUAAUACACCAAAUUCACUAAAAAUAUUAAAAUCAGAAAAAAUAACAACCGAAAUUAGACAUUUGAUGGUUUUAGUUUUGGGUUACAAAAUUCAUCAAUUUAUAGCAACAAAAAGGAUGUGGUGUUAAGUUUAUUACAUUGACUAGUAACAAAAUUAGUCUUUAAAAAUGAAUACCUAACCUUAAAUAUUAAUUUGUUAGUUAGGUUGUUUUUACACACUAACCUCUCCAAAGCUGGUUUGGAAAUUCAUCGCUCAAAUAAAUAUUAAUUAAAUAUCGUGGUUUUUUUUUAGAAAACGGGUUUUAAUUUUUAUUCAAGUUUAUUUUUUAAUUUUAUAUUUUUGUUUAAACUUUCUCAUUUUCAAGUGGGUCUUCGGGCCUAAACGGAUGGUUCAACUCAUGAUCAGGUCUAAUUAAUACCGUUAACUUUCUUUGUUAAAUUUGUUGCAAUGACAUUUUGAAAUAAUAAUAAAAACCACUUGAUAGCCAUGUAAAUAAAAACAACAUGUUGUAAUUAACUUGAAUUUAACAAAAACAAAAAUGGUAUUAACAGUUAGACCUGAAUUUUGAAAUCUGAAAAGUAGAUGACUAAAUUCCUGGAAAUACAAGUACAAUGAAUAAAUUCCUAAGUUUUGAAAGUACAGGGACUAUAUGGAUAAUUUAACCAAAUUAGACAUUUCAAAUAAUACGGCAUAUUGAAGAGUACAAAUGCAUGAUAUUCAGAAAGGAGUUUAGAGUGUGGGUAAAAGAGAGAUUCCUUCUCAACUGAAAGUAACCAAAUAUGAGGUUCUAAAUUUGUGCAGAUUAAUGGCUGUGGUUUUGAAGUUAAGCCCCCACAUCGGACGGUUGACAGAAUGCCAUCCCUUGAGAUUUUUCUUUCAUGAGGACCUUGGAGAAUGGAGCCAAAAGCAUAUGAUAUGAAGCGUGGCUAAGAUUCAUGAAAACUGGGCUUCUGUUUGCAUUUGUGGCCAACUGCAACGCCUAUAAGAAUUAACCAAAAACCCCUGAUUCUGAUAAUGACUGCCGAAAAUUUUCAAACAAAAAACGAUCGGAAAAAAUGAAAAAAUUUCCGUUGCCGGGACUUGAACCCGGGUCUCUCGGGUGAGAGCCGAGUAUCCUAACCACCUAGACUACAACGGAAUCUUGUUUGUUAAUUUGAAUAAGAUAAUUUAAGCCAUUUAUUUAUUAAGUUGCUAUUGAACUUCCUACAGUAUUCCGGAUUUUUAGUAUUUUUUUCUCACCCAUAUAUAAAAAGUUACAAAGAAUCAAUAAAUUUAUCAAUUUAUAACCUUUUGGUUACUUGUCUCUUAACUCAAUAUGACAUAGAUAGGCUUAAUAGCUAAUUUGGUCCCUAAACUAUAACUAAAAUAUUAAUUUCAUACUUUCCUGAAGUGUGAUAUGAUUGUACAUGUUGGAGGUAGAAGGACCUAUGGGAGGUAUCUCUUGUUGAGGCAGAGAGUUGACGUUUGUCAUUCUUUAGCAGGCAACAUUUUAUGUUUGUUUGUAAUUUUGGAAAGCCUGCUAAAAUUCUUUCCUUUGCUUGUAGUUUCCAGGGGAUAAGCCUGGUCGUUUGGAGGAACCAGGUUUACAACCGCUCAGUCCGAAUGAAGUAAGGAAGGAUCUGAAUCAGCAGUCAAAGCUUGCAGUGAGAGAGAACCGGCAAAACCAUGGAGUCUCUCGUGUUCAAUUGCUUGAAGAUAAUGCUAAGGGUGAUAGAAAGGUAGGAAAUGAGUUGAUUGAUCUAAAUGCCAAGCCACAACGGGUGCAGGUGCAAGCUUCAAUCAAUCAGGUAUUGUCGUUUGACUAGCUUUUUUCGUUCUUAAACUUGAAUGCUAAGCAGUGUAGUAAGAUGUUCUUUUAGAACUUAAUUAACGAGGUGACUGUUUCGUGUUUAAGAAGCAAGCCAUGGAUGUUUCGAGUGGCAAUAAUCAUGACUCUACAAGUGUGGUCCCUGUUGGAUGCUUCAAACGAGAGCCUGAAAAAUGAGCUAGGUAUAACUAUUAUCACCUACGUAUAGUUUACUUCUUUUAAGAGCAUUGUAACCAUUUGGCUCUAAGAAUUUUCUGUUUUUAUGUUCAUUUCUUGAUACUUCAUUAUAGAUGCUCGUUACGUAUUUGAUAUCAAAUUAGUAAAGUGUAGAAAUAAUUAAUAGGAUUUCCCAAGAAGGUAGGCUUCCUUUCACAUGACAUUGGUGCUUAGAUAGCAUUUUACAAGACUUGUCUGGUUUUUCAAAGUAGAGCUUGACCUGCUGAGCAGUUCCUCACUCCCAUAGUCAUAUGAGAAACAGAUGGAUCGGCAUCUAGUUGUUUAUGAAUCAUUAAACUAUAGAGUAAGAAUGUCUAGGCUUUUGUAUUAGGGGCAAGUUCUGCUAACGUUUUUGAGAGAAAUGGUAUACGGUGCAAGUAACCUUUAAUCUUCAUGCAUAUGGCUAGACUGCUAAAUAACUUUUGAUCCCAAAAGAUGGUAACAUGGCGGCUUCUGCUUGCCUAUCUAUCUCAUGGUUUCUCUCUCUUACUUUAGGCUCGUGUAGAACAAAACUAUCCGGCUGGUUCUAAGGUUACUCUUACGUUCCCCUCAAAAUAUGCACACACACACACAUGCGCUCACGAACAGCUAACCAUUCUUUCUACUCCUUUGAUAAUUGAAUGAGGUUUCUUAUCAGAUAAUGUUGUCCAUCAAUGUUUGGCUGCAGAUACAGCUGAAUCAGUUCUCGCAUAUCUAUGUAUUUAACGAGUGAAGCGCUUGCCUUUGUUAGAUACGUCUUCCUUCCCCAUGGAUUAGUCAUUAUUACCGGUGAAUUAGAAUGACUAGUUGCCAUCAAAUUGUAAGUGGGAAAUAGAAGAAUAAUGGUGAGGAAAUUUUAACUUUUGAAAGGAAAAAAUUCCCCUGCUUGUUUCUCCGGAAAAUGUCUAUCUUUUUUCUGGUCGAAUUUUGGGCCUGAAAGCAGAACAAGCAGUGGGAGAGUAUGAAUCAUGUUGCUCUUCCACCCCUUCUUAGUGGCAUCCGUUUUACCUUUGCUUAACUUCCAUUAUGGUGUUUCUUCUAUUUUUGCCACACUCAAAUAGCAGCUGAAAUUUUUUUGGAUGGAAUCCAAUAAUAAGAUGGAGGAAUGUUGUGAAAAAUACAGUUUAACUGUGUAAGUAGAUCUCUCUAUAGGUUGGGUCGGAUUCAGUCAAGCACUCAGGCAUGUGUAAGUCUAUUUCAAUUUUAAUGCUUAAGGAUCCUAAGUUAAACAAUUGGUUUAACUCCACGGAAAAUGGAUAGUAAAAGAGAACAUCUCACGUCCAAUUCGCCUAAUAUUUUUGCUUAAACUUGUUUUUCCAGUCCAACAUUUCCAAGCAGACAGUUUAGAACAACGUCGAGCAGGAUUGAGAAAUGAUAAUCCGGAAGUUAAUCAUAUCAGUCUACUCUAAUUUUUUUUAUCAUUAAAAUGCAGAUUCAAGCUUGUUUUAGUAUUUGUGAUGAUGCCAUUUAUGAGUACCCUCAUCGGCAAGAAGUUUAUUAACUAACAGUACAUUGCAAUCCAGAACAAAAACUAGUCUCCAGGGUCUAUAGAACAUUAAACACAAUGAGAAUGAAAGAGAAACCAUAUCAUGAAAUCUCCAUCAUCUCAGCUAAGCUUUGUUUGCAGCAGCUUAGUAGACAUAUCCCUUUACGAACAUUCCUUUCUUGGCCUCCUCUGAUUCUCCCUCGCCGGUGUAUUUGCCGAGCUGAGCAAGUGAGUUGGCCUUAGCACGGACAAGAAGUGAAUCCUGAGCAGCCUUAACGUUCUCAGGUCUGCCUCCCCAUGUCUUCAAGCAAGUGUUCUGGAGAGCUCUGGCAUACGAGAACGAGACGUGCCAUGGGUUUGGAGAUUGGUUCAUUGCGUUCAAGUUGAGGGUUGCUUCAACCUCGGAUUGUCCGCCAGACAAGAACUGCACAACAGAAACGGUUUGUCCAAUCCGUUAGUACAGUUCAUUUUAUUAUUUUACAAUGCUUUCGUAUAGAAAAUGUACCAUGAUUCCAGGGACAGCUGGGGGGAUUCUCCUGUGGAGGAGCUUGAGGGUGUAAUCAGCAACUUGCUGUGGGGUGGCCUUGUCUUUGCAUUCAGCACCAGGAGUGACCAUGCUGGGCUUGAGAAGGAUGCCCUCAAACAUGACAUUGUUCUCAGCAAGGUAGAAGAAAACCUCAGCCCAAACCUUCUGCGCUACUUCGAAAGUCCUAUCAAUUCCAUGGUCACCAUCAAGCAAGAUUUCCGGCUCCACAAUCGGGACCAGUCCACUGUCCUGCAACACAAUGGCCACAAAAAUCACUUCUCGACAACAAGUAGCAUACACAUAAUGAUUACUCCACAGCUUCAUCUAUCAACUUACUUGAGAAAUGGCGGCAUAGCGAGCAAGUCCCCAAGCUGCUUCUUUCACUGCCAAGGCAGAUGGACCAUUUGGAAUGCUCACAACGGUACGCCUGUCCGAUCAAAAAGAGCUAAUAGUGUUAUACAAGAAUCCUUUAUUUCAACACUGCAUAAUAUGGUUGAGAAGUCAUCGAACCAUUUGGCGAAACGAGCACCCUGCUGGUAGUAGGCAGCUGUGCGGGAUGAAAGACCGUCAAGACCUUGGCACCAUGACUCGUUGUUGGAACCAGGGAGUGGAACCAAACCCUGUUAUUUUGUUUACCAAAUCAUUCAGUUCCAAGUAUCCUCUAUAAAGAUAUGAAUGUGGGUGCUUUUUGGUUAAGCUUUAUACCUUGUCAACUUUGAUACCAGGGACAAUCUUUUGCUCAACAAGAACAUCGACCAUCUUUUUCCCAUCGAUGGUAGAUUGGUAGAGAGUCUCCUCGAAAAGGAUAGCUCCCGAGAUGUAGUCACCGAGGCCAGGGGCAGACACGAGAAGGGUACGGUAAGCUUGCCGGUUUGCCUCUGUAUUCUCGAGACCAAUCGAGGCAAGCCGUUUCCCACAUGUAGCAUUUGAUUCAUCCAUGGCCAAAAUACCACGACCUGGAGAUGCAACAGUUUUCUACAUCCAAACAAAGAAAUAAUAUUUGAGCAUGCAUGAGAUAAAAAUACGAUUCAAGACUACAUUAAUUCUAAUUAAGUACAUACCGCGGUCUUAACAAGCUCAUCGGCAUAUGAACUAGCACGGACGGUAAAGGCGGCCGAUGUAGGGUUGCACUGUACAAAACAAACCGAAGGGUGGCGGAGGUUUUGACCCUUAAUCCACUCGGACUUGUCGAUAAUAGGUGAAGACUUGAGGAGAGUAGCGGAAGCAGAAGCCAUUUUUCUUUUUGGUUAUGUUAUCUUUGGGCUAAUCAAUGAAGCAAGUCGAAGAAUGUUAUGAGGGACUUUAUUAUGUUUAGUUUUUCACUAUAAUCUUAUCUCUUCAAUGUUGGCCUUCCUUCACCACACAUGCAAGUCUCACUCACUGGAUUUUAUACUUGUGUUUGUCUAUAUCACCCUAUCAUAAGAUGUCACAUUUGAGGCUGUCGUGCUUUGACCAAUGCCGUCAUGCCAUGUAGAUGAUAAUUUUGCACACUUGGCGGGGAUGCAUUCGUGGUUGAUAAAAACAUUGUUUCAUAUGCGUUGAGUCAUUUUACUUUAUUAUCUAUUUUUUAUUUAGAAUAAAAAAUUUUUACCAUAAUUCAUUUUGAACAUAAAUUCAUGGUUAUUUCUCUUAAUAAUAUCGUUUUCAAGAUUUGAACUUCAAUUAUCUCUUUAAGAGUGUAAUGUGAUUUAUCACUAAACUCAACACUCGUUAGUAAAAUCAAAAUGCAAUUAAUAACAUUGUUAAUAGGUUUCUAUUAAACUUGAAUAUAUAUCGUUUUAAUAUUUAAUUAAGACCAUAAUCAAUUAAAACAAUAAAACACUACAUUCAAUAAGAAACAAUGACACACCUAAUUAACUAUGAUUGGAUUUGAUGAAUGGGUUGGUCAGUUAAAGUACUUGUAAAUUUAGUGGAUAAACCUAAUUCGAAGAGUAUAAAGAUUGAGGACAUAAACAUUUGAAAUUGUAGUGGAUAAACAUGUGUAAGUAACAAACAAGUAAAUUAAGGAAGAAAUUAAAAAGAUCGAAUACACAAAUUUUAUGUGAAAAUUUUCUCUGAAGAAGAUAAAAAAUCAGGAGUAAAGGGAUAUUUCACUAAUAAGAUAAAAAUAUAAGAUAGAGAGAGUCAAAAUAAAGAAAAUUUGAAACCCUGAAAGAAAAAUAUUCUGUACUAAAACACAGAAUUCUCUCUUAACUAUGCUAUUUUCUGCAUCUAAAUCUAAUUCACACACUAAUCUCGGUGGCUCUAAGGUGACUUAUAUAGUGUACAUGUUACUUGGUGUCCACUUAUCCUAGAUACAUUUUAGCUACUAAUUAAUGUAAUAUACUAUUAAAUGCUUAGUGUCUAAUUAGGAAGUAAUCCAAAAAUUGUCAUCCAAUGAAUUAGCUACAUAUUUUCAUAUCUCGGCAUGAUGACAGUUGCUUGUUGCGGCAUCGUGUUCUCUCAUUACGACGUCACUCUCUGUUUUGGUCUGAAAUACAAGGCAUAGUCCACAUAAAUAAUAAAGCAUAUUUAUACGAAAAAAAAAACAGAUUUUUUCUUUCCUUGUGAUGUAGUAAGAGUACAAGAACAUCAUAUUCACAAUGCAGUUUGCAGUGCGUACGUAAAUUAGAGGUGUUGGAAAGAUUCCUUCUGAAACUAAACAAACAUGAGGUUCUAAAAUUUGUGCAGAUUAAUGGCUGUGGUUUUAAGUACAGGGUCUUGAAGUUAAGCCCCUACAUAGGACGGUUGAGAGAAUGCCAUCCCUUGAGAUUUUUCUUUCAUGAGGACCUUGGAGAAUGGAGCCGAAAACAUAUGAUAUGACGUGUGGCUAAGAUUCAUGGAAACUGGGAUUCUGUUUGCAUUUGUGGCCAACUGCAACGCCUGUAAGAAUUAACCAAACACAAAAAUAAAUUCUCGAAAACCCCUGAUUCAUGAUAAUGACCGCCGAAAUUUUCAAUCAAAGACGACCGGAAAAAGAAAAAGAAAAACAGUUCCCAUUGCCUGUACUUGAACCCGGCUCUGUCGGGUAAAAACCAAGUAUCCUAACCACUUAGUGAAUUUUUAAUAAAAUAUAACAAUUCUUACUCUGUCUGAUCGCCGGAUUCGAGCUAAAGAAUGCUACAACAAUUAACGGAUUAAUUACAUACAUUUAACAUCAAUAACAUUCAAUAAUUCAACAAACAUAAGUCAUAAUUCAUGGUUAAUAUGAUUUCCAAGCAAAUCCGGGUUUUAAUCGAGCUUACAAAAGUUCUUAAGCUGACCUAAGUACAAAUAAGGACUAAGUUAGAAAUUUUUAAACAAUUAGGGAAAAUCAUAAAAUAGGACCACACAGCCGUGUGCCUAGACUGUGUUAAAAACUGAAACCGUGUAGCUGGAGUCAGUCGUACGACUCCCUUUUCACACGAUUACAGUUUUUCAUACGGUCGUGUGAUCCUUUUUUACUGAAAUUUUCAUACUUUUUGUUAAAUUUUCCUAAGCUCAAUUGAGGCUUGGAUAUGACUCUAUAUUAUGUUGAAUGGUUGAUAUGAUAAAAAUUUGUCAUGUUUUACUGUGAAUUGUUUGUUAUAAGUUUGUUUCGUAUGGUAGCACACCAUAAUUCGUUCCUGACGACAAUGAUAAGUAAAGGGUGUUACAUUAUAACCUGAAGAUUAAUAAUUUAAGGAUUCCAUUCAUUAAGUUGCUAACGAUGGGUCGUUAAAUCAAUAUUUCUCAAACGUACGAUUAGUUACUUAAUUGGUAUUUUUUUUAUCACUCAACUAUAAAAAAUUAUAAAAUAAUCAUAAUAUUUCGAUCAUUUGUUUGUUAACUCAAUUACGGAUAUUUGAAUCUACUACAACAGUAACAAUGCUACAUAAACUAAAUCGUUCAAUUUUAAAUUUUUUAAGGGCACGAAAAGUACAGUGCAUAAUACCCUUUAAUUUGAAGUUUUUGAGGUUAUGACAUAUAUAAAAAUUGUAAAGAAGAAAAAUAGAGAUUAGUAGUGACUUAAGAGGACGAUUAAGGGACUUCAUCUCACUAUAUAAGAAAAGUAAGUUUCAAUGUCAUAGGUCAUCGACCCAUAGUUAAUUACCCAAGUACUUAUAAUUUUAUAGAAAAUUUCAUAAUCCAAAAUCCGACCUGGCCUUGUGAUCCUGAAUUCGAUCUAUAACUGAUACUCUCGCAAUCUCGCAAAGUCAACACGAUGGAAUGCCUCGCGAGGGAAAUAUGUGAAUAUUUUUCCCAAUCUUGCGAGGCAGGACAUGCAAACACGUAUGAUGAUACUUGGGUACGAAUUUUGUCAAAAAGAUACAUCUAAAAUACACGUUAAACUUAAAGGAAUGGCGUAUCGUCUUGAGUUAUAUGAAUAACACUUAACCAUCCCUAACAUAUCCCAUUAAAGGAAUCAUAUCUUAUAAAUAAGGAAAAAUCGCUACAUGAAAAAGGCAAAAAACAAACCUCAACACUACCAUUAGAAGAAACGUCCUCAAAGCAUUAAAGAGUAGAUCAAAAGUGACCCUUUUGAUGAUUCUAAUUGUUCUACUACCAUAUAUUAAUUAGGUUGUCUAUGAUUUUUCUUAUAAAUAAAUUCACCAUUUAACAAUAGGAAAACAAAAUGUUAAAUAUUAAGAUUGAAUUCAAUUUAUUGAAAAAAAAAAUAAAAAUAGGAUUUGAAAUAUGAAAAAUCGGUUUCCUAUUAAAAUACAUAUACAUGAUAAGAUUUAAAUCCAAAAUAUUAAUCUUUAUACUCUCAAUCGGAAAAGGUUAGAUUUUUAAUGGAACUAACGAAAUAAGAAAAACAUUGAUUAUAAAAUUCGAACCCACAACCAUAUGAUUGAAAACAUUAUAGUUUAACAUCUAUACCAAACAAAAUUAUUAUUAUAAAUCUUGUAAUUUUCUAUUUUAUGCAAAUAUUUAAUCAUAUCAGUAAGUAUGUUUUCGACAUUGCAAUUUUACAAUGACCCUGAAAGUAUAUCAAACACUAAUGCCACAAUUAACAAGAACUUCAAAAAAACUUACAAAAAAAGAAGAAGGAGAUACAACAAGAAAAGAAAGAACUACCCUUUUUCAUUUUCUUAUAAUUUUUAUAAUGUUUUACAAUUUUUAAAAGUUUUAUAAUUUAAAAAUUACAUUUAAAAUAAAUUUAGACUUUCAAAUGAAUUUGGACAUCUAUUCAUUAUGGACUUGAAUGUUUAUAUAUAUAUAAAUUUGGAGUUUUUUGAAAUUUUUGCUGAUGUGGAUAGCCAUGUUAACAUCACAAUGGUUGACUCAGCUGUCAUUAAUGACCACAUCAAUAUAGUAAUAGUCAAAGACAAAAAUCAUUAAUCAAUAGGCUUAAUUGAUGUGUUUUUAAUGUUUGAGGACUUUUUUAAUUAAUACAAAAUUUUCAACUAAAAAGUUUGUGAGUAAGAUAAAUAGGUAAAUAGCUACUUAUCCCUUAAUGUUGAAAAUGUUAAAUUGACUUUAUUUUAAAAAAUGAAUUAUAUCAUCUUUUUUUUUAGAUAUCUAAAUUUACAAAUAGUCUCAAUUUGAUCCUAAUUCUAAAAAUACAUAAAAUAAUAUGUAUAUAUAUAUAUAAUACAUAAAUUUAUUAUUACAUUGUUUUGAAAAUAUUUAUCUAUUUUUGUAUAUUUUUUGAUUUUUUUAGAAUUAGGAUUAAAUUGAUAUCAUUUGCAAAUCUUGAGGGUUAAUUUUUUAAAAUUAUGAUUCAAUUGAUAUAAUAUGUAAAAGUUGAGGGCUAAAUUUAUUGUUAUACAAAUUUUUUUUAACUAUCAGGUAGCUUGUCGUUUUUGAUUUUAACGAAAUUGACCAAAAUGACAAAAGUAUAUAACGUGGGUGUUUAAAUUGUAAAAUUUCUAUUUUUGAUGCUUAAAAUGAAAAUUUUUAUAAUAAAAUGAUAAUCUAUGUAGUUUACCCUAAUUUUAAAAAAAUUAAUUUUAUUAGACAAUAUUUAUAUUCUUUAUUUAUAUUUGUGUGUGCGAUGCACCGACUAGAGGUGCUCAUGGGCCGGGCGGUCCGGCCCGCCCGAAAUAUGGGAGGGUUUGGGUAAAAAUAUAGGCCCGAAAUAUGGGCUUGGGCAAAAAAAUGAGGCCCGAUUAAAAAAACGGGCCGGGCCUCGGGCACCACUUUUUUGGCCCGGGCCCGGCCCGACCCGGCCCGAAUAUAAUAGAUUUUUUUUUUAUUUUUUUAAUUUUAAAAUAUUUUUAAAAUAUUUUUAAUUUUUUUUAAUUUUAAAAUAUUUUUAAAAUAAAUUUUUGGUAUUUAUUUAAAAAACGGGCCGGGCCGGGCCCGGGCUUAUGAAUUUUUUCCCGGGUCGGGCCUGGGCAAAAUUCUAGGCCCAUAUUUUGGGCCGGGCCCGGGCCUAGGACCCGAGCCGAAAUUUUUCUGGGCCCGGCCCAUGAGCAGCUCUAGCACCGACUUAAAUUAUUAAAAUUUUGACAAUCGACAUUUUUUUAUUGAAAAUUUUGUAUUAAUUAAAAAAUUAAUAGAGAUCAUUUAAUAUAUAUAUAUAUAUAUAUAUAUAUAUCGAUUUUCUAUUAUGAUAUCAAGGGAAAUAAUAUUGCACGGGUUUGAAUAGUGCAAUAUUAUGAUAUCAAACAGAUUUGAAUUGUAAAUAGAUUUGUUCACGGGUUAUUCGUUCAGGCCCAAAGGCCCGUCCGAAACUUGGAAGAGUUUCAGUAAAAAUAUUAGGCCUGGAAAAUAGGCUUAAGCAAAAAAUGAGGCAUGUUUAAAAUAAGAGUUGGACUUAGUUUGAACAUUCAAGGCUCGACUCGACCUAUUUUUAAGUUUAUAAUACUUUAUAUUAUAUUAUUUUCUUAUAUGAUGUAAUUUAGAGCACAUUUAAAAAAAUAAACCUAUACUAAAUAUAUAAUAUUACUCUAAUGUAAACAUUAAAAUAAAGUUAACAUGACUAUAUAAAAAUUUUCAAUAAAUAAAAAAUGUAUAAAAUUAUUAAAUAUUAAACUAAUAUAAUAUAAAUAUUUUUUAAAAAACAAAAAAAAUAUGGACGGGCCUAAAUGGGCUUGGGCUAAUCUUUUACAAAUAUGGGCUAGUUUGGGUAAAAUUUUAAGCUCAUAUUUUAGGUCGGGUCGGGCUUGGACAAGUAUAAAGUAUAUUAAUAUCAUGCUUAAGCCUAACACGACCCGGCUCAUGAACACCUCUAAUUGUAACGUAGUAUUAUGGUAUCAAAAUUCUUUUCACAAGAGAGAAAUAUUAAUUUAGAAAGGAAUAUUUGCUUAUCUAACUUUUUAAUUUUAUAAAAAAAAAGUCAUUCCAAUCCUUCAUUUAAUUUUUCACUCCUUUUAGCUUUUAAACUUGCGUUAUUUGUUAAAUCACCCUAAAAUGGAUGGAAAUGUUAAGGUUUUUUAACUUUGUUGGUGUGACAUACAUGUGGAUUACCACAUGGGUGCCACAUGAGCAAUUAAUUAAUUUUUUAAAAUUCAAAAAAUUAUAAAAUUUAUUUUAAAAAUUUUAAAACUAUUAAAAUUAUUAAAUUAUAAAAAAAAUUUAUUUUUUUUAAAAAAUAAUCAAUUGAUGAUGUGGCAUAUACUUGAACUACCACGUGGAUGUCACGUCAAUAAGGUUAACAAACAUUAACUUUUCUAUCCAUUUUGGAGUGAUUUGACAAACAAUACAAGUUUAAAGACUAAAAGAAGCGAAAAACUAAAUGGAGGGAUAAAAUGAUUUUUUUUUUAUAAAGUUGGAACCUUAGAGAUGCAUGUUCGAACCUUAGAGAUCACAUUGUUGGAAAGAGCAACCACAAACUUCUAACAUGAUUUGUAAAACGGACAUAAUAAAUAAAUAAAAAGGUGAAAUAUACACUUUUAAGCCAAAUAUAUAUUAAUUUUCAUUUUUCAAACACUUACCGGUUUGUAAAGUUAGUUAGAUGUACACCAAUGUGUCGUAAUUUCUAAUCUCAACUCUAAUAUUUACCUAUAAAAGGAAUUUAAGAAAUACUAAGAUGACAAAUGUAUCAAAAUAGUGAGGACUUUAUCAAAAAAUAUACCAUAGCAAUUACAUAAAAAAAAAGGUGAAUUCACCGCUAAAUUUUGUAAAAAUGCCGUUUGUUUUUAAAUAUUUAAAUAUUUAGGCUGAUUUAUUUGAUAUUUAGGCCGAAUUUGAAAAGAAAAGGUAAAAAUAUGUUCAGCAGAGCAUGUUUUUUAGUCAGAUGGUUAAAUGUUAGUAUUUUUUCUUAAGUCUCGCGUUCAAUUUCUCUUCUACUCAUAUUAUAUUUUUUAUUUCAUGUUGCUUCAAGCUUUUUAUAUUUUUUUUGUUAGAGUUGUGUGACCCAAAUUCUAAGAAAUUGCUUGCAAGUCAAGUUAAACAAAAUAUAUCUUCUUUCUAGAAGAUUUAAUAUUUAUGAGUAUAAUAUAUUUAGCAUUGAUUAACAUAAUAUAUUUGAGUUUGAUUAGAAUUAGGUUUUUUCAACCUAUAAAUAGAUGUAGUCGAAACUCCUCUUAUAAUCAUUCGAAUUCAACAUAGUGAAUUUUCUUCUCCUCUGCCCGUGGUUUUCUCCCAAAAGAGUUUUCACGUAAAAAUCUGUGUGUUUUUUAUUUUUAUUUAUCUUUUCUUUACGAUAUAUUGUCAUUACCGACGUUUUAUUUUUACAAAUUGGUAUCAAAGCUUCUGAGUUGUUCAUCUCGAUCACGAUAAUGGCGUCUUUGAAGCAUAAAAUUCCACUGUUGGAUCGCAACACCAAAUUUUCGUUGUAGCUGAUUAAGAUGCAAGCAAUUCUUAUGCAGAUGGAUCUGGAGGAUGCCCUGCUAGGAAUAGAUAAGAUGCCUUCGACAUUAACGGAUGAAGAGAAGAAGCGUAAAAAUCGAAAGGCAUUAACACAAUUACAUCUGCAUUUGUUUAACGAAAUUCUGAAGGAUGUGAUAAAAGAUAAGAUCGCUGCUACUUUAUAGAAGAGGCUGGAACAAAUAUGUAUGUCGAAAACUCUAACUAGAAAGUUGCAUAUGAAACAGAGUAUUUAUACUCAUCGUUUGGAGGAAUGUGCGUCUGUGCAUGAACACGUAACUAUGUUUAAAGAAAUUCUCUCAAACUUGGAGGCCAUGGAGGUUCAGUAUAAUGAGGAAGAUCUAGGGUUAAUUCUUCUUUGUUCGUUGCCCCCGUCUUAUUCAACCUUUAGAGACACGAUUUUAUAUAGUCGUGAGUCUCUCACAAUUGAUAAGGUUUAUGAUUUUUUGACCUCGUAUGAUAAGAUGAAACAUCUUGUGGUUAAACCCAAAUCUAAGGGAGAGGGUCUCAUUAUUCGCGGGAGACAAGAUUGGAAUACUGAUGAUGAUCAUGGAAGGACACGGGAACAUAAUCCUCGCGAUAAAUCUAAGGGUAGAUCAAAGUCUUCAAACAAAGGCAAAACUUGUAACUUCUGCAAGAAAAAAAGGUACAUUAAAUUUGAGUGUUAUAAGCUACAGAACAAGAUCAAAAGUGAGGCUGUGAAUCAAAAGGGAAAACAACUAAAAAAUUCCGGUGAAGCUGAUAUUGUAGAAGACUACAGCGAUGGUGAACUUCUAGUCGCUUUUGUUAACAAUUCUAAAUUGAGUGAGGAGUGGAUCAUUAAUUCGGGCUGCACCUUCCACAUGAGUCCCAAUCGAAAUUGGUUUACAACUUACGAAACAAUGUCUGAAUGUGUUGUUUUGAUGAGAAAUAAUGCUACGUAUAAAAUUACAGGUGUUGGAACGAUUAAAGUUAAGAUGUUUGAUGGAGUUGUCAGAACACUUGGUGACGUACGACAUGUUCCAGAAUUGAAGAGAAAUUUAAUUUCGUUAAGUACUUUUGAUUCAAAAGGGUACAAAUACAUAGCUGAAAGUGGGGUUUUGAAUAUUUUUAAAGGUUCCCUCGUUGUGAUGAAAGGGCAGAGAAAGACUGCCAAGUUAUAUGUUUUGCAGGGUUCUACUGUUACUGGUGAUGCAGCUGUCGCUUCCUCUUCUUUGUCAGAUGAUAAUAUUACUAAACUUUGGCAUAUGCGCCUAGGGCAUAUGAGUGAGAAUGGCAUGGCAGAAUUAAGCAAAAGAGGACUUCUUGAUGGGUAAGGAAUUUCUAAACUAAAGUUCUAUGAGCACUGCGUUUUUGGGAAGCAAAAAAGAGUUCAAUUCACUAGAGGAAUCCAUAACAAGAAGGGAAUGUUAGAGUAUAUUCAUUCUGAUCUGUGGGGGCCAUCCAGAGUGCCUUCGAGAGGUGGAGCUAAUUAUAUGCUAACUUUUAUUGAUGAUUUUUCCAAAAAAGUUUGAGCGUUCUUCCUAAAGCAGAAAAAUGAUGUGUUUUUCGCAUUUAAGUCUUGAAAAACUAUGAUUGAAAAAUAGACGGCAAAAUAAAUAAAAUACCUAUAUACAGGAAAUGUCUUAGAGUUCUGUUCUGAUGAGUUUAAUAAAUUGUACAAGUCAAAAGAGAUCGUGAGACACUUGACAGUUCGUCACACUCCACAGCAAAAUGGCGUUGCAAAACGAAUGAACAGAACGAUUAUGGAGAAGGUUCGAUGUAUGUUGUCAAAUGCCAACUUACCAAUGUCGUUUUGGGCCGAAGCAGCCUCUACUACAUGUUUUCUGAUCAACCUAUCUUCAUCCGUUGCCAUUGGGAAAAAGACUUCACAAGAGAUAUGGUCUGGUAAUCUUGCUGACUAUUUUGAUUUAAAAAUCUUUGGGUGUCCUACUUAUACUCAUGUUGAUACUGGAAAAUUGGAACCGAGAUCCAUUAAAUGUGCUUUUCUUGGUUAUAAAUGUGGUGUAAAAGAGUAUAAGUUAUAGUGUCCUGAAAAUAGAAAAGUUGUGAUUAGCAGAAAUAUUAUUUUUUUAUGAAACUGUUAUGCUACCUAUCUUAUCUCUUAAAGACUCUUCCAAUAAAGAAAAUUAAAAGCAGGUGGAGCAUCAAAUUAAUCCAGAAUCUACAACAGAGUCGAUUCCUCAAGCCAGUACAAAAAUUCAGAAUAGAUUUGUUUCUUUACCACAAUAUUCUAUCGCCAAAAACAGAACUAGAAGAGAAAUUAAACCUCUAAAAUAGUAUGCUGAGGCUGAUCUAGUUGAUUAUGCUUUAAAUAUGGCUAAAAAUAUAAAUGCAAACCAAGAGCCAUCUAAUUAUUUUGAGGUGGUUAGCUGUGAAGACUCAGAAAAGUGGAUGUUUGCUAUUUAAGAGGAGAUGGAAUCACUCCACAAAAACAAAACAUGGGAUCUUGUGAAACUUCCUAAAGGUAAAAAGGUUGUUCGUUGUAAAUGGGUGUUUAAAAAGAAAGAAGGGAUUCCAAGAGUUGAAGAACCCAGAUAUAAAGUAAAGCUUAUUGCAAAAGGUUACAAUCAAAUUCCAGGAGUGGACUUCACAGAUGUGUUCUCCCCCAGUUGUGAAGCAUAGUUCGAUUCAAGCUUUGCUUAGUAUUGUGGCCAUGCAUGAUUUGGAGUUUGAGCAGUUAGAUGUAAAAUUUACAUUUUUGCAUGGAGAACUUGAAGAUAAUAUUUACAUGCAACAACCAAAGGGUUUUACUGUCUCAGAAAAAGAGAGCUCUGUUUGCUUGCUGAAAAAGUCCCUUUACGGUUUGAAAUAGUCACCAAGACAGUGGUACAAAAGGUUUGAUUCAUUUAUGACUUCUCAUGAUUUCAAAAGAAGUAGUUUUAACAGUUGUGUUUACUUUAAGAAAAACAGUGAUGGUUCUUUUGUGUAUCUACUCCUUUAUGUUGAUAACAUGUUUAUAGCAGCAAAAGAUAAAUGAGAGAUAAGAAAGGUUAAAACCCAACUAAGUGAAUAAUUUGAGAUGAAAAAUUUAGGACCAACAAAGAAGAUACUUGGUAUGGAGAUUCUCAGAGAUAGAAAAGCAAGUAAAUUGUACCUAAGUCAGAAAGGGUACAUUGAGAAAAUUCUUUACAGGUUCAAUAUGCAGAGCGCUAAGCCUGUUAGUACUCCUUUAGCAGCCCAUUUUAGGCUUUCAUCGGCUUUUUCUUCACAAUCAAAUGAUGAAAUUGAGUACAUGUCACAUGUUUCAUACUUUAGUGCAGUGGGAUCUCUCACGUAUGCUAUGGUUUGUUCAUAUCCAGAUUUAUCAUAUGCAGUCAGUGCAGUUAGUAGAUACAUGGCGAAUCUUAGUAAAUAAAAUUGUAAAGUAGUUCAGUAGAUUUUAAGAUACUUACGAGGUACUAUUGAUGUUUACUUACAGUUUGGAAGAACUAGAGAUGAAGUCAUUGAGUAUGUUGAUGCGGAUUUUGCUGGAUACCUUGAUUGAAGAAGAUCUCUCACAGGUUAUAUUUUUACAAUCGGAGGUUGUGCAAUUAAUUGGAAAGUCACUUUGCAAACUACAGCCGUUUUGUCUACCACAGAAGCUAAGUACAUGGCGAUUACGGAGGCUUGUAAAGAAGCUAUUUGGUUGAAGGGACUAUUUAAUAAACUCAAUGAAGACCUUCAAAUCAGUAUAGUAUUUUGUGACAGUCAGAGUGUAUCUUCCUUACAAAAAAUCAAAUGUUUCAUGAGAGAACAAAACACAUUGAUGUUCAGUAUCAUUUUGUUCGUGAUAUUAUUGCUCGUGGUGAUAUUGUUGUGAGCAAAAUUAGUACUCAUGAAAAUCCUGCAGAAUAACCAAGUUUGAGCAUUGCUUAGACUUGGUUGGUGUACAUUGUUGAAGUUAAACCCUUAAGGGGUUUUAUGGAAGAGGUGAAAAACUUGUUCGUUGAGAAUUCGUGUCAAGGUAGAGAUUGUUAGAGUUGUGUGACCCAAAAUCUAAGAAAUUGCUUACAAGUCAAGUUAAACAAAAUAUAUCUUCUUUCUAGAAGAUUUAGUAUUUAUGAGUAUAAUAUUUUAGCAUUUAUUAACAUAAUAUAUUGGACUUUGAUUAGAAUUAGGUUUUUUCAACCUAUAAAUAGAUGUAGUCGAAACUCCUCUUGUAACCAUUCGAAUUCGACAUAGUGAAUUUUCUUCUUCUCUGCCCGUGGUUUUUUUUCAAAAGGGUUUCCACGUAAAAUUCGGUUUAUUCUUUAUUUUUAUUUCUCUUUUAUUUACGAUAUAUUGUCAUUACCGCCGUUCUAUUUUUACAUUUUUAAUUAAUAUUUUGAACAUAUUAACUCCUUUAAUCAAAUGGUUAGAUAAUUGAAAUUACAUUUUUAUGUCCCAAGUUCCAUUAUUUUUAUAAACAUAUUAAUAUUUUUUGUUUAUUUUAUGUUGUUUCAAGCUUUUUUUUAUCAUUUUAAUAAUUAUCUAACUAAAUGAGCUAAUAUGUUAAAAUAUUAAUUAGAUUUAAAAAAAACUUGAAGCAACAUGAAAUAAAAAAAUACAAAUGUCAGUAGGAGAGGAAUCAAACUCGAAACUCAAGGAUAAAACAUUAACAUUUAACCAUCUAGCCAAAUGAGAUGAUUUGUUAAAAAAGUCAAGUGGUGGCCGUAAAAUGUGCCCUGCAUUUUCAAUUAAAAAGCGUCCAACUAGACAAGUUUUUGCCUUCUUUCUGUAAAAUCGGUCUAAUUAUUAAUUCAAAAUUAAAUUUUAAGUAUACAUUUGAACCACAAUUAGAGUUUUAUUUAUAUAAUUACACCAAAUUAAAGUUCAUAUAUACAAUUACACAUUAAAUCAAAAUCAAUGUAUAAUUUUCAAAUUUAUCCCUAAAAAAAUCAUCAACUACUGCUCUCUUCCCUCCUUUGCUCACACUCCAGGUGAGAAAAACCUUCUUUUCUCACUAUUAAAAGCCCCCAAAAGCAAAGGGAUUUUAAUAAAAAAGGGAAAACCAUUGAUUAUGUACAAAUUUUCUUUUAAGUUUGGGUUUAAGCUAGCUGGGAUUAGCUGCAAAAUAGGCUAAUACACCCACAAAGGGUGCAUUAAUGUAAGUAGUAGGCUCUGAUUUCCUAAAAUCAGCUCUAUCAUCAUCAUAAACAUCAUCUUCUCCAGGCCCUCCAACAAUGGCACCAACCAAAACAUUUGGAUUAGGAUUAGUUGAAUUAAAAUAAAUGGAACCUUCCUUGCAAGCUAUAAACUCAGGAUGAUCUUUCACAGACGGUAAAGACGACCCUCGGUGAUGAAUCCGUUGCGGGAAACGGUUGCCGUACCCAACCAUGUACGAUAACCCCAUUGGGUUAUCACCUAAAAUGUAAUCGGCUUGGUUCUUUGCUAUGGUUCGAAGAGAUAACGGGGAGGCAAUUAAGUUACCGCAGUUGACUGUUUGUGAAGUACGAUCGAGGUAAUUAGCGUAAACGAGGAGAAGAAACGAAAUCGUGGUCGCAUGCUGCAAGUUGCUGCCUCCGGGCUUGUAGAUGAGGCCGCCGGGAGUGUAUUCGAUGUGGGACGACGAUGAAUCGGGGAUUAGUGUGCACAUAAAGCUAUCUGCUGACACCUUGUAUGAUUGCAGGGAGUACAUGUUUCCUUCUAAAGCUUCCUGAAAGACAAGGGGACCCAUGUGAUGUCCCAAAGAAAAUCUCUAAAUUAUGAUUUUAGUCCUUCUACUAUGUUACAAUUUUCGAUUUGAUACAUUUACUUUCAUUUGACCUAAUUAGACCGAAAUAAAAAAAAGUUAAAGCAAGCCAUUUGGGGUAGUUAAAUUAGAGGAGGCUUGACCUUGGAGACAAGAACGUUUAGACCAGCAUGCUUAUUGUCCCAUCCAAAUUCAUUGAUGUUGUCAUCGGCACCAAGGGUUUUGCCAUUGAUUUCGAUGUAAUUAAGGUAAGAGUUGUCUUGCGAGGCCCUCCUUAACCAUGCAGCUCCCCAUAGCAAUUCAUCCUGGUUAAAAAUUUUAUAUAUUAUAAAAGUUUUAUUUUCCAUUUUAGGGUGGCCGGCGACUGCCAGCGGGCCGCCACUGAGUUUAGCUAAUUUUUUACUUACUUGAUAGCCGCUAAAAUCGCAGUAAAAUGGGCAGGCACCGUCUCGGACAUUAGAAUUGUCACUAUAAGCACCUCUAAAGUUGUCAGCAUAUUGAAAAACCCGAACAGAAUUCCGUAACAAUGUCUGGGCAUACCCUGGGUCCACUGAUCUGAAUGCCAUGGAUGAAGCCGCAAGAGCGGCCGCCGUCUCAGCCGCUACUUCGGAAGCCGGGUUCGGUGCAUCCACUGCAUAAACCGUCCUCGCAGUAUCCAUAUCUUCGGGUCUUUCCCAACAGUUAUGGUCCUUAUAUGGAUCUCCAACCUAAAUACAAAAGAAAAUUUGAUUUACUUAGAUUACUAUUUCAUGUCAUUUUCACUUUGGGUUCUGUUUCUUUUCUUCAGAUGAUAUUGCUAUUAGCUAGCAACAACUCCCAUACAAACAUUUCAAGUGCAGGUGGCUACUACUGUCAAAUGCGUAUCCCAAGAAUGGAAGAAAAAAAAAGUAGGAUUUUCCGGGAAAGUUUUGUUAGUAAACGACAACCAUGCACUAGAACCAUAUCCGAUAAUCACGUUUUUACCCACUCAAACCACUGAAAUGAAAGGACCAUUACCAUUGCUGCUACUAGCAGAGCACUGAACAGUACAGUGUAGAAGAAAUGAACAAUUUUAACUCAACCGAAAUGAGCAAAAUCCGAAGUUAGACUUAAACUACAAUGGAGUUUACUAAAUACCUGAACGAAAAUCUGGUUAGGCUGAGAGACAGUUUUAAGCAAAUAAUCAGUACCCCAACGGAUGGCCACAAGGGCAUUUCUAAGUUCACUUGGCGGCAUUAAUUCUCCAAACUCAAUCACGCUCCAAGCCAACAUCGUCGUCGUGAAAGCCAUCGGGAAGCCGAACUUAACAUUGUCGCCGGCGUCGUAAUAACCGCCAGUUAAGUCCAUGUUGUACAUGGAACGGCCAUCGCUCAAUCCCGAAUGCUCCCUCCAUUUCAUACGUUGGUCUCGGGGCAGAACACCAGAACGCUGGCCCUCGAAAAACAGAAUCGAUUUCGACAAUGCGUCGGAGUAAUCAUGGUGACCGCAACGAACCGAAGGGGAAAAAACAAGGGAAACGAAAAGAAAAAACUGCUGACGAUGAUGAUGGUGAAGAAGAAAAAGAAGAACAUAAUGGAAUUUCAUGGCGUUUGUUUUGAGGAAUAGGAUUUGGGGUCUCUGGGUCUUUUGCUUUAAUGCCUGGUUGAUUAUAUAUUAGAUUAAGGGGGGGAACGAGGAGUCACGAGGGAGAGUGGAAAGGCUUUGCUUAUAAUGUGAGUAGGAGUGGGGAAAGCGAAAGCGCCGACACUUAUUUGGGGUUUUUAUAUUUGUCAGUGAAGGAGUUCACAUGCAUCGCGAAACGUGAAUGCACAAUUUGCUGGUAAGUAAAACAAAUACGGCCAAAGCAGACAAUGGAGUGUAGGUGGAGGACGAGGAGGCCAUUUGGCUUUUGCCCUUUAGAUACCCAAAUUCGAAUGCUAUUUGCUUAUAUCGCUGCAAAGUCGCAUGCUCAAUAGUUCUGGCUUGUCGGCUCCAUCGCUUUACUCAGAGCGUUCGAACUUUAAAAAUGAUUAAGAGGGACAGCAUUACAGAUUAUGGUUAACCACAUGACCCAAAUUGCUAUUAUAGUGAAAUUCGCCCAAAACUACCAUUACAUUCUAAUAAACCUCAGUAACAGAUGUAUAGAAAAUGAAUUAGGUUGUUUUGUUGUUGUCAGUCGAACCCAAACUACCCAGGCCUUUAAGCAGUCUCAGAAAGUGUGCAUUAGGGUUUCAAUUGUUGAACCAUAACACGAGCAUCUAUUCGAGGCUGCUAAGUGUCCCCGAGAUAACUUACCUAUUGUAGGAAGCAACUCUUAAGCAAACAUCCAUAGAUAGCAUAAUUUUUAUUUUUCUUGAGGGAGUUUUAGGGUUAUUAUGAACUAAGAACAGAAUGCUUGAACAUAUAUAAUAUGAGCCAAAAUAAUAUGUAAUCAGACUUUUUAUGUAUUUAGCAGAUUGUUAUUAAAUCACGGGGUUAAAUCAUUGAAAGUAUAUAUAAAUCAAUUACUCUUGACAAAGUUAAGGUAUUGUUUCGUAUUGAAAUCUUAGCUCUAACCUUUAUUAAAAAUCAUACAAUUUACGGAAAAAAAUGCCUCUGGCAUGGAACCAAAAUAUUUGCAGACAAGGAUUAUAUUUCUGUGCAUAUAAGGAUUAAGGGAGAGUACUGUAGAGUGUUGUAUUAUAAUAUAUUUCAACAGAAAGAAAUGUUGGAGGUUUUGUCUUGAAAUUUUGAUAAGCAAAUGGGGUAUCCAAGAAUGUAGGUAACAUUUUAAGGGUGAGGACAAACAGCUGCAAUAUAUUCUUAUCCCAUACCCCAACAUGGCCAAAAGGGGCGGUGCUGCUGCUUUAUGUUUUUAUAAUAGAUAAAUAAAAAAUAAUUAGUUAUGAGCAUCUCUUUUCUUAACAAGCUUACAGAAUGCGAAAAAAUAGUUAUUGAGUUUGCUCUGAUAAAUAUCUUGAGAAAUUAAAAAAUAAAUAAUAAUUAGGCACAACGAAAUAAAAACUUUUAUUUGAGAUAUUAGGAUAAUUAUUUGAUACUCUGUUAGUGGAGUUUUUUAUAUACUUUAUAAGUGGGUUGGGAGUUUUACAAGUGUCAUAUUUAUUACUUAUCUCUUUUCGUUUUUUUUUUAUGAAAAGCAUAUGGUAAUAUCUUAAAAAGGAAAAUAUUCGGUCUAUAAGUCAAGGGGUUAACAAAUGUUCUAGGGGUACAGUAAAAUAUUAAAAAUAAAUAAAUAUUUAUAAAAAACGACACAUGGCAAUUUUUUAAAACUACUUGUAGAACAAAAUAAUAUAGUAUUAAUGUACUAAAUAUUUAUAAAAUUGUUUUUAUUUCACUAAUAGAAUAACCAUCUAACUUCAAUUUGAAUGUUAAAAAGAAUAGCAUUUGAUAGACUGAUAAUAAAAUAUAUUAUUUUCAUAAACAAAGUUAAAAUAUUGCCAAAUGCCCAUUUUUAAUACUUAUUUUAUUUAUUAGGUAUGUGUCACUCUUUUGACCCUAAUUGAUUAACUGUCUGUUAAAUAAUUGUUUAAGGGUGUGUUUGAACGAGGGAUUUGGAGAAAUAAUUUUAUUUGUAUCAGAAUUUUCAAAAUUCUAGAAAUGAAUUUACUUAUUUGAAUAAAAUUUUUUAGAGAAUUUCAAAAUUUUCAAUUUCCCUAUUCAAAUUCCACUUAGUUUUUUUAAAAUUUUAUUUCAUUUAAUAAACAUGGUCUCUGGUAAAUACUAAAACUUCGAAAAACAUUUUUAUUUAAUUUUAAUGUAUAUUUAAAAGUUAUUUUUAUUAAAAAUAAUUCUAAAUUUUUACAAUUAUAAUGAUAUACAUGUUGAAUAUGUUUUAUAUUAUGUUUAAUAUAACUAUCAUUCUUUAAUUCAUUAAAAUCCAAUACCCUAAUUUUUUUAAAAUUAUUUAUUUAUUCAAACAAAUAAUUAUAAUCGUUAGCAUUUUGAAUUGAUGAAAUCUAAAAUGCAAACAUUUUAAAAAUCUUCGAAUUUCGAAAUUUUUCAUCUAAACACUCUCUAAAUGGAUAAAGAUAGUUAUUCUACUUAUAAAUUCUUUCAUUGGGUUGCUGUUUACGAAUUAAUCAGAUAUAACUCAAUUAGAAAAAUAUCAAAUUUACUAUUUUUUUUUAAUGUUGAGCACUUAAAAUUUAUCAUUUUGGGGGCAAUAGCACUGAUCAUCAAAUUAACAGUGAAGUUCAUAUAUUUACUAAUUUUAUAAGACGAGUAAUCAAAUCAAUUAAUCCAUCAAUUUUUGACUCAAUUAGUACAAAAGAAUAAAAAAAUAUAUAUGAGAAAUUAAUACGCACAAAUUAUGUAUUUUGGAUAAUACAUAUAAACCAAAAUAAAUAAAUAAAUAACCAAAAACAUAUUUUAAAAUCGGUAUAUACGUUUUUAGCUAUUCUUUUGUUUCGAUUUUUACCGGUUAACAACGAUUUUAAAUAUUUUCAAUUAUAUGGCACUAAUCAAAUCGAUUGAUCGGUUCGAUUCUAACAACAUUAAUAUUUAUUAACAAUUGGACUAACUAUUUAGUUUUAUAAAUUAUGAGGACUGAAUUUUUGAGAAAUUCAAGUAAAGGGAUUAAUUUUUUCUAUUUACAACAAUUCCAAACAUAAAAUUCAUUCCUAAAAUUAUAAAAGUACUAAAAAUAUCAAUUAUAUCAACAUUUUUAUUUUUUAAUAAAUAUUUACUUUAAGUUUUCAUAAAAUCAUUUUAAAUAUCCGUUAUAUAUGGUUUAUAUAUAUAUUGAUAAAAAAUCAUUAAACAUUUUUUUACUAUGAAUGCUUAGAUAACAGAAAUAAUAUUUUAAGUAAUUUUGAAAGAAAAAUAAUAUUUAGGUUAAUUAUUACCAAAUAUAUAUAUAAGAGUAAUUAAUUUUUUUAUUUUUUUUAUUUUAAAAGCAAAUAUAAGAUUAUUUAAUAAUUUAGCUUUUACAAAUUUUUACUUGAGGGACAAGGAAAUCGGAAAUGGACUAGACGAAAUUCCUUUCGUUGGGACGAAGCAAAACUAUUCCCCAUACGUCAGUCUAGGUUUAAUUAUGCUUUCAGUCACUGUGAUUUUCCAGUAUUUGAAAUUUAGUCCAUUUAUUUGUAAUUGCAGGAAUGCAUUAUUGUUUUGAUUUAACCAUUGAAAUCCAAUUGAUAAUACCAUUAAAAUAAUUUCAUUAAAUUUAGUUAUGUGAUUUAAAAAAAAAAAUUGAUCACAUAACCGUGUGGAAGCCAUGUAAGCAAAAGAGAAGUAUUUACUUUUAUUCUAUGUUUCGAUAAUAGCGAUAUUGAAUUUAGAAUCGAAGGCUUUAUAAUCUCAAAUUCAAUAUUUUAUUUGCUUAUUAGGCAUUUCACCCAUGCAACAUUGGUUACAUGAGGAUGUUUUUUAAUAAAAUGCUACAUAAUCUGUUAUGAUACUUACUAUUAUCGACCCGCUAUCCGAUUGAGUUUUGACCCGCACUCUACACGGUUCGUACUUCGAGUUCAUGUGUAAAGUGCUCACACCCUUUUAUGAGAUUACAUGAUGUGGGUUCGCACCAUCAUAUAGGCAAACCCACAUCGUAUAAACACAUGUUAACCUUAUAAUAAGAUACAUGUCAAUAUGCAUGUUAACCUACCUAUUAUAUCAUAUCUAGGACCAGUAACCAUAUAAUAUACAUAGUUUAACACAUUGGAAGAGGAUACACACAUAAAUACUCGAUAUGAUCCAAUAUAAAAGAGACUAAACUGAAAAUAUGUGAAGAGUAGAGGAACUGAUAUUGAGAUUAGAUCAUUGUUCCUCCAUUUCCUUCCCCAUUUCUCAACUAACCAUUUUCCCCCAUAAGCCGCGUCUUCGCCGCCUCCUGCAAAGGAAGAGAAAAGAUUCUUUUCAAUCGAUCAUGGCGUCUCUAUAAAAUUGUCUUUUUAUUGUUAUAUUUUUUCUCUUCUUCAUUCGGCGAUUGGAAUCAUUGAGUUUUUCUCCUUUUCCUCGUAGCCAGUUUCGUUUUUUUAUUCCUUUUCUUUAGAUUUGAAGCAAAAAUGAGCGCGUAUAAGCGCGUGGUACAGUUAGGGUUCAAUGCGUAUUCGAGUUCCAUUGUGAACAGGGUCGGGCACCGGCAGAUUUCUCAACUCGUGAAAUCCAAUGGAAAGCGUGCAUUUCUCGUCGAUACAUUGGCUCUGGUACGUCAUUUCCCUUUUCCUUACUUUAUUUCGUUUCAAUUUCUUGUUUGGUUGUCGAGAAAACCUAGGAAUAACGACGAAUUUAAUCUCUUUCGAUUAGGAAAGUAAAUUUGAAUCUGUUUCCUGGUUAAUUCGACUGGAAUCGUUUUAUUGCUUAACGAUUCGGCGUUUAUUUUGGUUAUUUUACGAAAAAAAUUAGUAAUGGAACUCUUGGAUUUGGGUUUCCUCUGUUAAUUUUGAGUUUUUUUUUACACUAAUAGGUUCGGAGUUUGGAAGCGCAAGGCGUGCCAUCAAAACAAGCGGAGGCAAUAACAUCAGCAAUCACUGAAGUAUUGAACGACAGCUUGGAGAAUGUGUCCCAGUCCUUUGUUUCAAAGGCAGAAAUGCAGAAAGUAAGUUUGGUGAUGUUUUUGUAAUUGUUACCAUGUUUUCUAGAUCAUUUGUGUUCAUUGCGAGUGUGUUGAUACUAAAUUUUGCUUUAUUUUACAUUUUGUAGUCUGAGAUGCUUCAAGAAGCCAAUUUGUCCAAGUUUAAAUCGGAAGUAAAAAGUUCCCAGGUACUAAUUUAUACGCUUAACAAAAAACUAAGCGGCAAAGAAGAAGGAAGAAAUUUAUGUUAUGUGCUAAUAUCAUUAUUUGGAACUUGCCAUUUGGCUAAGUGAUCACUUCAAUGUGUCUCUUAUUGACUCUAAUAUUUGGGAUUCUUUAGAAAUUCCAUUGGUGGCAGAGACUGAAAUCUCGUAGCUAGUUCAAUUUGAACUAAUGAUGUUACACUGCAGUUUCAUUUUGUUCCUUUCUUGUGUGUCAACUCAAUAUUGCUGUUUGUGAGGCUGGGUAGGCUUAGGGUUAUCCAGAUACUAUGUGCUUUUUAGUGCCCCUUUUUUCCUAGCACUUUCUCCUUUUCCCUUGCUCAGAUGUAGAUAAAGAAAGAGGUGCAGAAGAUGAAAGUGGGAAUGACAAAUCUUGUAUUAAUGGUGAACUGUAGGCUAGAGAACACUACAAGUUGGGGUAGAAUUAGAUGGAUAUUUGAAAUUCAGGUGAUGAUGCUUCGGCAAAAGAAAACUAUGAGGUUUUGGAACUAAACUAAGCUUAACUAUUGACAACAUAUUAAGUUUUAAGUUCAAAAGUUAUUCUAAGAUGGAGUGCCUGUGUAGAAUGGAGAUACUCUCUUGGUAGAUGUUUAAUCAGAUCAAUGUUGAAAUUAUCAUACUGAACCCUUUGUGGGAAGAUUUUUCAUUUGAGUAGAUUUCAUUGCAGAGUUCACUGUAUAUUUUAACUUCUGCAGUCAAUUAACAACUUCAUCCAUAUAAAAAAAUGCACAAAUAUGUUUGCCCUUAUAUGUACUUUUACUCCUUUCCAUCUUUACUUUGGCUAAAAUAUGUAGUUCUUUGGGUUUACUGCAACGCCAUGCUGGUGAAACCAGAACUAGUGAUUUGUUCAGUUGAAAUAUAGUUGUGUUCAUUGCAAUCUGAGCUAAGAUCAUGCCUCUCCCUUGCUUAGUGUUCUUUGAUGGCCAAUUUUUUUUUUUUUUGUUCUCUUUUUCUCAUGUAAAUGUCUUUCUUGGAAUAAAUAAUUCUUAGUGUUCUCUUUAGUUCAUACUCAUGUAUUCUUUCUUAAUGGCUAUUUCCUUGUAACGCAGGAGCAUCAUUUUUCUAUGUUGCAACGUGAAACUGAGAAACUUCGAGGUGACAUAGAGAAGAUGCGAAGUGAACUAAGGUAUGUUCUCUGGAUUAGAGUUGAACUGUUUAAUACUUCUCCAAAAAUUUUGAUAGCUUGAUUUUGUAAAACUGAUCUCUCAAACAGGUAUGAAAUUGAUAAGGUCACUGCAGGGCAGCGUCUGGAUUUAAAUCUUGAAAGAGGGUAGGUAGACUUUAUUUUCAGUUGUUCUCUUCAUGGUUGCACUUGCUUGCUUUAUUUUCUUAACUCCUAACUGAUUCUAGGCGCAUACGUGAUGAACUGGCCAAUCAGAAUGCAGAAACUACCAACCUGACAAACAAGCUAGAUAAGGUGAGCGUGUGGUUGCUUAUAUCAUUUGAAAGUCUAUAUUUAGAUACUCUGACAUACAGCAUAAACAUGAUGUUAUGAAUCAUCUGCAGGAAAUUCAUGCAUUAAGAGCCCAGUUAGAAGCUGCGAAAUAUGAUGUAAUUAAGUACUGCAUAGGUACCCUGGUCUCCAUAUCUGCCGUUGGGCUAGCUGUACUGCGCAUCUUGAUGUAGUCUUGCAUCUGCUUUAAGUAGUGCCAACUAUUCCAACAUGCACCUCCAAUAUCAUCAUUCUUUUUUUCUGGCAACUGGAUUGCUUUGGGAGUAAAAAGGGUGGGAAUUACUUAAUGGUUACAAGAUUUUUCGUAUAAUUGGCAAGGAAUGACAAAUCCCAAUUGAUCGGAACAAUUAUUUGUGCUUCUUUUAGGAUUAAGCACGACUUAUUCGAUUUACUCUGUAUGUUCUGUUAUUGUAUUCUAGGAAAAAGGCAAAUGGAGCUAAAGAGAUAAUCAUCCAACAUUGCUACCCCAGGCAAUGGUGCAACUGUGUUAAGCCUCUAAGUUGGAUUUUCUUUUUAUCAAACUGAUGAUUUUGCAAUGAUUAAUUCAUUAUAAUUUAUACAUGAUCUGUUUGGGCUCUUUUUGUUAUUACUGUUUGAUGAUUGCAACAGCAUGAUUGUACAGACCAAUUUAUGCCCGGGCCCAACAAGCAGAGACCCAAAACCCAAAUUAAUCAAACCCUAAAACUAACCCAAAUGGCCCAAUACAACUGGCCCAAACAACCCAAUGGCCCAAUAACCUAAAGCUAUCAGAAAACCCUAAUCCCCUAACCCCAUGUGCCGUACUCUGCCACCACCUACCACCGCCAUUCGCCUUGUCACCUCAACUCUCUGCCACCGACCCACCACCAUGCCCAUUAAAUGCCUGCAAAAUCCAGAGAAAAGGGAGGAUAGCAAGAAAAGAGAAAAAAUAGAAACAAAAUAUGGUGAAGAUCGGCUAUAAAGAGCUGAAUACCAACAUUGUAAUUUCAGAGUUGUUUUUACAACACCAGUGAAUAAAAAAAAACAGAUCAAAAAUUAAAAAAGGUUGUUUCCGGUUCUUUUUCUGUUCUUGCGUCUUUGUCUUUUCUUUAUUUUCCUUUUAUUUUUGUUUGUUUUACAACUCUUUUUAACAAAAACGAAGCGAAAAAGGGAAAGAAAUAUACCUAUUUGUUUCGAGGGCCGGCCGGAACCCACCUUCGCCAUCACCAGAGUCGAGCGGGGAGGGGAGUCUCUUCCUUUUUUCUCUCGGUCCCGCGGAUGAGAAGGCUUAGCCUUCAGGGAUGCCGUGAAAGGAGGGCUGAGAAGCCCGUUUCGCGCAACUCCGGCCACUGGCCAUGGAGGCGGCGGUGGAGUCUUGAACUUAAGGGCUGAGAUUGAGGGAGAAAAGAGGGAGAGAGAGAACUCAGUUUUUUUUAAAAAAAUAAAUGGAAAAUGACUGAUUUCACAAAAAAAUUAGCCUUUAUAAGCUGGGUGAUACGACGCCGUUUAGGGCUAAUCCAAUAGCCCUAAAACGGCACCGUCUUGGUCC
Molecule: long non-coding RNA, 62232 nt
Filed under: Gossypium barbadense (sea-island cotton)
Lineage: Eukaryota; Viridiplantae; Streptophyta; Magnoliopsida; Malvales; Malvaceae
Description: long non-coding RNA (GBAR_LNC022145)
Source: RNAcentral